AUGAAUUUCUUUCCUGAUCUACAACAUCUAAUCUCAAAUUCGCAGAACCAACAUUUACACAAAAAAUCGAGCAAGGAGAACUUGCCUGACGAGGGCAGAGCUUUGAAUUCAAUAUUUGCACAAUGGGGGAUUGAGGCCAAUGCGGAGCAAUGGAACACAACUGGAGACCCUUGUAGUGGAGCUGCCAUUGACUCCACCGCAUUCGACGAUGUCGAUUACAACCCUUUCAUCAAAUGCGUCUGCUCUGAUAAUGUCACUUGCCACAUUACCCAACUGAAAGUUUAUGCCUUGGAUGUUGAUGGUGUACUUCCAGAUGAGCUAUGGACAUUGAGCUACCUAUCUAAUCUGAAAUUGGGUCAGAAUUACUUCACAGGACCUCUCUCUGCAUCCAUUGGAAAUCUAACUAGCAUGCAAUACUUGGACUUCAGCAUUAAUGCUUUAUCGGGAGAGCUACCAAAGGAACUCGGAGAACUCACUGAAUUGAUUGUAUUUGCUAUUGGGACAAACAACUUUACUGGGCCUCUGCCAGCUGAACUAGGGAGUUUAUCGAAAUUACAACAACUUUACCUUGAUAGUUCUGGAGUUAGCGGUGAGAUUCCAUCUACAUUUGCCAAUCUACAAAGCUUGCAGACAGUGAGGUUUCAAGGGAACUCCUUUGAAGGUCCUAUACCAUCUGCACUUUCCAAUCUGACUUCUCUCACUGAGCUGAUAAUUACCGACUUAUCUACUACCAAUGGAAGCUCUUCUCUUGGAUUUAUUAUGGAUAUGAAGUCUCUAUCUGUCUUAGUGCUAAGAAAUAACAACAUUUCUGAUUCAAUUCCUUCCAACAUUGGAGAAUACAAAAGUUUAACUCAGCUGGACUUGAGCUUCAACAAUCUAACUGGACAAAUACCAGACUCGCUGUUUAAUUUGAGUUCUCUUUCCAUCCUGUUUCUUGGAAACAAUAAGUUGAAUGGCACUAUCCCUGAAUCUAAAAGCUCAAGUCUUCUCAAUAUAGAUUUGUCAUACAAUAAUCUGGUUGGGUGCAUUCCUUCUUGGGUCAACGGAACAAACUUGCAGCUGAAUUUUGUUGCCAACAACUUCACCCUGGGCAGUUCAAACAGCAGUGCUCUUCCUUCAGGGUUGAAUUGCCUUCAAAGAGACUUUCCUUGCAAUAGUGGUUCUGGAAUCUGUAAGUACAGUGGACACCUUAUAUGUUUUUCUAACUUUGGGAUAAAAUGUGGGGGUCCUCAGAUAACUUCUUCCAGUAACAUUGUGUAUCAGACGGAAAAUGAGACCCUUGGUCCAGCUUCAUAUUUUGUGAAUGAUGAAAGCAGAUGGGCAGUUAGCAACAUUGGGUAUUUCACUGGCAGCAGCAAGCCUCAGUACACAAUUUUCUCCUCAUCUCAAUUCAAAAUACUCUAGAUUCCGAGCUAUUCCAGACUGCAAGACUCUCUGCUUCAUCACUUAGAUAUUAUGGCUUGGGGCUUGAGAAUGGUAACUACACAGUGAACCUACAGUUUGCAGAACAAGCUAUCCUAGAUUCUACUACAUGGAAAAGUCUUGGGAGACGUGUGUUCAAUAUUUAUAUCCAGGGGAAUCUAGUUCUAAAGGAUUUUGAUAUACGAAAGGAGGCAGGGGGAUCUUUCCUAGCUGUUCAGAAGGAAUACACGGUUCCGGUUUCAGAGAACUUCCUUGAAAUCCAUCUCUUUUGGGCUGGAAAGGGAACUUGUUGUGUACCUGCACAGGGUACUUAUGGACCUAUUGUUUCAGCCAUCAGUGCCACACCAGAUUUUGAACCUACUGUCAGUAAUAAAAUUCCAACUAGUAAGAAGAAUAGGACUGGUCUGAUUGUGGGAAUUGUUGUUGGUGGUGGAGUUUUAAUUCUGGUGAUGGUAGUUCUCUACAUUGUUCGAAGAAGAAAAAGGCCCAACUUCGAUGAUGUCGAAGAGCUGUUAGGGAUUGAUAUUGGACCGCUCACUUUCAGUUAUUCCGAACUAAAGUCGGCUACAAAUGACUUUAGUCCGGAAAACAAGCUUGGAGAGGGAGGAUUUGGACCUGUCUAUAAAGGUACUCUUCACGAUGGAAGAGUAAUUGCCGUGAAGCAAUUGUCUGCAGCAUCCCACCAAGGAAAGAGCCAAUUUGUAACUGAGAUUGCCACUAUAUCUGCCGUGCAACACAAUAACCUUGUGACUUUGUAUGGGUUCUGUGCUGAGGGAGUAAAAAGGCUCCUUGUCUAUGAGUAUCUGGAAAACAAUAGUCUAGAUCAAGCAUUAUUUGGAAAGAAAAAUCUGAACCUUGAUUGGUCAACACGAUUUGACAUAUGCUUGGGAGUGGCAAGAGGUUUAACUUAUCUUCAUGAGGAAUCAAGGCUUCGUAUAGUUCAUAGGGACGUGAAGGCCAGUAAUAUCCUGCUGGACUCUAAUCUCAUCCCCAAGAUAUCGGAUUUUGGUUUGGCCAAGCUUUAUGACAAUAAAAUGACCCACAUAAGUACCGGGGUUGCUGGAACAAUAGGGUAUCUUGCACCGGAAUAUGCCAUGCGUGGACAUCUUACAGAAAAGACCGAUGUGUUUGCAUUCGGUGUUGUAGCUCUAGAAAUUGUCAGUGGCAGGCCAAAUUCUGACCCUAGUUUGGAAGAAGAUAAGGUGUAUCUUCUGGAAUGGGCUUGGAACUUGCAUGAGAACAACCAUGAACUUGAACUGGUGGACUAUAGAUUAUCCGAAUUCAGCGAGGAAGAAGCAAAACGAAUAAUGAAGAUAGGACUUUUGUGCACUCAAACAUCACCAAUGCUGCGACCGACAAUGUCUGGUGUUGUCGGAGUGCGUACAGGAGCUAUUGAAGUGACAACAGCUGCUUCAAAACCCGGUUACUUGACUGACUUGAAAUUCAUUGAUGCUACUGCCAGCAACAUAUCGCUUGCGAAAGCUUUGAAUUCAAUAUUUGCACAAUGGGGGAUUGAGGCCAAUACGGAGCAAUGGAACACAACUGGAGACCCAUGUAGUGGAGCUGCCAUUGACUCCACCGCAUUCGGCGAUGACGAUCACAACCCUUUCAUCAAAUGCGAAUGCUCGGAUAAUGUCACUUGCCACAUUACCCAACUGAAAGUUUAUGCUUUGGAUGUUGAUGGUGUACUUCCAGAUGAGCUAUGGACAUUGAGCUACCUAUCUAAUCUGAAAUUGGGUCAGAAUUACUUCACAGGACCUCUCUCUGCAUCCAUUGGAAAUCUAACUAGCAUGCAAUACUUGGACUUCGGGAUUAAUGCUUUAUCGGGAGAGCUACCAAGGGAACUCGGAGAACUCACUGAAUUGAUUGUAUUUGCUAUUGGGACAAACAACUUUACUGGUCCUCUGCCAGCUGAACUAGGGAGUUUAUCAAAAUUACAAGAACUUUAUCUUGAUAGUUCUGGACUUAGCGGUGAGAUUCCAUCUACAUUUGCCAAUCUACAAAGCUUGCAGAAACUUUGGGCAUCAGAUGUUGAACUCUCUGGCAGUAUACCUGACUUCAUAGGAAAUUUGUCAAAGCUUACUGACUUGAGGUUUCAAGGAAACUCCUUUGAAGGUCCCAUACCAUCUGCACUUUCCAAUCUGACUUCUCUCACUAAUCCGAUAAUUACAGACAUAUCUACUACCAAUGGAACCUCUUCUCUUGGAUUUAUUAUGGAUAUGAAGUCUCUAUCUGUCUUAGUGCUAAGAAAUAACAACAUUUCUGAUUCAAUUCCUUCCAACAUUGGAGAAUACAAAAGUUUAUAUCAGCUGGACUUGAGCUUCAACAAUCUAACUGGACAAAUACCAGACUCGCUGUUUAAUUUGAGUUCUCUUUCCAUCCUGUUUCUUGGAAACAAUAAGUUGAAUGGCACUAUCCCUGAAUCUAAAAGCUCAAGUCUUCUCAAUAUAGAUUUGUCAUACAAUAAUCUGGUUGGGAGCAUUCCUUCUUGGGUCAAAGGAACAAACUUGCAGCUGAAUUUUGUUGCCAACAACUUCACCCUGGACAGUUCAAACAGCAGGCCAAAUUCUGACCCGAGUUUGGAAGAAGAUAAGGUGUAUCUUCUGGAAUGGGCUUGGAACUUGCAUGAGAACAACCAUGAACUUGAACUGGUGGACUAUAGAUUAUCCGAAUUCAGCGAGGAAGAAGCAAAACGAAUAAUGAAGAUAGGACUUUUGUGCACUCAAACAUCUCCAAUGCUGCGACCGACAAUGUCUGGUGUUGUGGGAAUGCUUACAGGAGCUAUUGAAGUGAAAACAGCUGCUUCAAAACCCGGUUACUUGACUGACUUGAAAUUCAUUGAUGUUACUGCCAGCAACAUAUCGCUUGAUAUGUACUUAUACAACCUAACAAACGCCGUUACCGCCGCCACGCCGCACCCGCCGGAGAAAACUAAACCUGUUGCUGCGAGGAACAAGGCCAAUCCUGCUGGGACUAGGAUAGGGCUAAACAGGACUACAACUGGGGUGGCCAUGAUCAGGGCUAUCACCGUGGCGGUUAAAGUUAAACCGGACAAGACAAAGAGCGUGCUGCCAACUGCCCCUGCGACCAAGAACUUGGCUGCACUACCGGAUGGCAAUGGCGUCAAGGGCAUGGUGGACUUAGGCCUAUCCAAAGUACCUGAACAAUACAUACAACCACCUCAUGAGCGUAUAGUGAAGCUAAAUGCAAGCUCAUCACUAAAUGAGCUCACACCAAUCGAUCUGUCAAAGCUUGAUGGGGUUGAUCAUGAACAAGUGGCUAAUGAGAUCGUUAAUGCUGCCGAGGUUCUUGGGUUCUUCCAAGUUGUGAACCAUGGCCUGCCCCAGGAGUUGCUGGAGUCUCUGAAAGAUGCUGCAAACAAGUUUUUCGGGCAAGCGCCGGGAAAGAAAGCUGCUUACCGGAAAGGUGUGAGCCCGAGCCCGUACGUGAUGUACGGAACGAGCUUUGUGCCGGAGAAAGAGAAGGCAUUGGAGUGGAAGGACUAUGUUAGCAUGGUGUACUCCAGUGAUGCUGAUGCUCUCAGUCACUGGCCUAAUGAGUGCAAGGAAGUUGCACUUGAGUACCUUAAAACAUCAAUGCAUAUGGUAAAGAAAAUAGUGAAAAUCUUGAUUGAGAAGCUCGGAGUGACACUGGAAGACUCGAAACUAGAUGGACUCAUUGGGUUAAAAAUGGUGAACAUGAACUAUUAUCCAACAUGCCCUAAUCCGGAGCUCACUGUUGGAGUCGGGCGUCACUCGGACAUGGGAACCUUAACCGUUUUACUGCAAGAUGGAAUUGGUGGUUUGUAUGUGAAGGUUGAAGAAGACAUGAAUGCUGCUGGAAAGAAAGGAGAUUGGAUUGAGAUCCCUCCUGUCCCUGGAGCUCUGGUCAUAAACAUUGGUGAUACAUUACAGAUAAUUAGUAAUGGGAGGUACAAGAGUGCAGAACACAGAGUACGAACUACAAGCGCUCAAUCAAGAGUGUCUGUUCCGAUUUUUACCAUUCCAAACGCGACAGAAAUAAUUGGGCCGCUGCCGGAGAUGGUGGCGCGUGAUGGAGUGGCUCGUUACCGUGACAUGAUGGAUGGAAAAAUUACUACCUGCAAGGAUGAUCAUCAUGAUUAUCAUCAGGAUCAUGAUGAUGAGGAUGUUACACUACCGGGAUUCAGGUUUCACCCAACAGAUGAAGAACUUGUUGGGUUCUAUCUCCGCCGGAAGAUUCAGAAGAAACCCAUCAGCUUAGAGCUCAUCAAAUCAAUUGAUAUCUACAAGCAUGAUCCUUGGGAUCUUCCAAAAGCGACAACUACUGCCGGAGACAAAGAGUGGUACUUUUUCUGCAGAAGAGGAAGAAAGUACAAGAACAGUAUCAGACCUAAUAGAGUAACCGGGUCUGGGUUUUGGAAAGCAACUGGGAUAGACAAACCAAUUCAUGAUUCCAACAUCAACUGCAUUGGACUGAAGAAAACUCUGGUUUACUACCGGGGCAGUGCCGGAAAAGGCACCAAAACUGAUUGGAUGAUGCACGAAUUUCGCUUUCCCUCCGCCAAUGAUGUCAACAACAAUGUCCACACUAUCCGCACCUCCUGCACCGCUAUAUCGCAGAGUGCUAAUCUUCAAGAAGCUGAAAUUUGGACACUGUGCCGAAUAUUCAAGAGAAAUGUGUCGCAUAAAAAGUAUACACCGGACUGGAGAGAGUUGUCUGCUAAACAAUCCAGCUCAAAGAAAUGCAAUAUGACUACCGAUCAAGAUCUUAAUCAAGAGUCCAGGAACAUUAACCGAGAAGCUUAUAUCGAUUUUGGUGCUUCAAACAUUUGCUACGAAGAGAAGAAGCCGAAUGUUCUCAACCACACUAAAUAUAACAAUGCAAGCAACAUUAAUAACCAGACAUUGCAGAAUGCAGGUCAUCAGUUCAUCUCCGGAACAACGACGACUACUGCUACACAUCCAUACAACAUGGAUUCCUUCACAUCGAGCUAUUCAUAUGCCGAUAUCGAGAAUCAUGACUUUUUUAACGAAAACUGGGAGGAGUUCAGAUCAGUUAUACAGCUCGCUCUUGAUCCGUCGUUUAUAAGAAGCUCGUUUAAAUCAGAUGGGUGGAAUAAAUUACAAAUCCCGUACUCGAGUCGGCUUCCUGAGAAAGUUGUGCUAAUUGGCAGGCCUCAGACAUGUAAGCUUCUCAGGCCCUUGAAAGAGACUAGAUUGUGUGCAGUUCCCAACACAGAUGAUGGUCACCCUUCUGUCUCUGUGUUGGAAGAUUCCAAUAUGAAUCACGCACCCACUUCGGAAGAGGAGACAUUGUUCAGCAAAUGGACGCCUCCCAGGUAUUUGUGGAGGGGAUUUUCAGCUCUUAUCCUGGCAGGUCAGGUCAUCAUUAGAACUUUAAAGGGUAAAGUGCACUGGAAAAAUACACUCCAACAGUUGAGAAGAGUUGGGCCAAGUUCGGUUGGGGUCUGCCUCUUAACUGCAGCAUUCGUUGGCAUGGCCUUCACCAUCCAGUUUGUUAGGGAAUUUACCAGAUUAGGAUUAAGCAGAGCUGUUGGUGGGGUGUUGGCCCUGGCUUUCGCAAGGGAGUUGAGCCCUGUAGUUACAUCAAUUGUGGUUGCAGGGCGUAUUGGAAGUGCAUUUGCUGCAGAGUUAGGAACAAUGCAGGUUUCGGAGCAAACUGAUACAUUGAGAGUUCUUGGAGCAAACCCUGUUGAUUAUCUUGUGACACCAAGGGUGAUUGCUACCUCCAUUGCUCUACCGUUUCUGACCCUAAUGUGUUUCACAGUAGGAAUGGCAUCCAGCGCUCUCCUUGCUGAUGGUAUUUAUGGGGUUAGCAUUAACAUUAUUCUGGAGUCAGCUCGGAGAGCUCUUAAACCUUGGGAUAUAAUUAGCGCAAUGAUCAAGUCACAGGCUUUCGGUGCUAUCAUAUCGAUUCAUGACAUACUGCUCUGGAAUAACAAAGCAUUGAGGUGUCUUGACUGGUACAACAUAACGCGUGCAUUCAAUAAACUCGAGCUUCUACAUCCAAAGGAAGCUGAAUAUUCUUAUGAUGUUUAUGACUACAAAAAGAAAAAAGUACAUUGGUUUGAUGUGGUUGGAACUUGUAAUGGGAUAUUAUGCCUGACUGGCUUUAGAUUUGACAAGUACCAGCGUCGUAGGGCGGAUGUCAGGGAGGCUAUCACGGCAAUAAUUUGGAACCCUUCUAUUAAACGGUUUGUGAUCAUACCUAGUGGUUUCUUUGUAGAUUAUGCCUUUGGCUAUGAUUCUUCUACCAAUGACUAUAAAAUUUUGAGAAGCGUGGUUCACGAUUCUUAUGAAAUCGCAACUGAGGUUGAGCAUGUUUUUGUCAAUGGUGCCUUGCAUUGGGUUCAAUUCUGUAACAUAGAUAGGCACAAAUACAUUGUGCUGUUUUCUAUGUCAUCUGAAUCAUUUGGAGAGAUUACAAUGCCUGAAGUUUUGAGAAACGAUUCAUACGAUUGCUAUAUGUCAAGAUACUGCGAGUCAUCACUCGCUUUGUUAAUUGAGGAUUUCGACAAUAAUAACAAUAAUCUUCACUUGUGGGUGAUGAAGGAAUAUGGUGUGGCAGAAUCGUGGACUAAACUGUUCACGUUUGCAACUUUGCUGUUGUUGGUUCUUCUGCCGCAUUGUCUUUAUGGGGAGCACAAGCCUGGGGCUUCAUCGGUGGCCUAUGUUAACUUGCCAGGGAGGAGGUGUAGUACAGGCUUCAGAGCUUGCAGCAGCAAGUUAAAGACGAGCAUAAAAGGUUGUGCCCCCAGUGCAUUUGUUGUUGCUGAUGAUAAGAAGUAUGGGAACAAGCAGAUUAUCAGUAUUACUCCGCGGCUUUAUGAUUACAUCCUUGACAAUGUUCGAGAACCAGAGGUUCUACGAAAACUUAGGGAAGAGACUGCCUCUAUGCGUGGUAGUAUGAUGCAGGUGUCCCCUGACCAGGCACAACUGCUUGCAAUGCUUGUACAGAUUCAUGGGGCAGAAAAGUGUAUUGAAGUUGGUGUAUAUACAGGUUAUUCAUCAUUGGCUAUUGCAUUGGUCCUUCCAGAAUCAGGUAGGUUAGUAGCUUGUGAAAGAGAUGCCAGAUGUCUUGAGGUUGCAAAGAAGUAUUACGAAAAAGCCAAUGUUUCCCACAAGGUGGAUAUUAGAUAUGGACUUGCAGUAGAUACCUUAAGAUCACUGAUUCUCAACGAUGAAGCAUGUAGCUAUGAUUUUGCAUUUGUUGAUGCUGACAAGAGAAUGUAUCCAGAAUACUUUGAAUUAUUGCUCCAACUCGUGAGGGUUGGGGGUCUAAUUGUAUUUGAUAAUGUUCUCUGGCAUGGAAAAGUUGCUGAUCCAGAGGUAAAUGAUGCCAAGACAGUUAGCAUUAGAAACUUCAAUGCUGAUUUAAUGGAGGAUAAGCGUGUAAGCAUUAGUAUGUAUCUCAAGAGAAAGAAGCAGAUACCUCUCUUCGAGGCCUUGCAGAAGAUCAAAGAAGAGUUGAUGCUUUUGGGGUUUAUAUCACUCCUGCUGACGGUGUUCCAAGGACCUAUAGAAAAGUUCUGCAUAUCAAAGAAACAUGCCAGUCAUUGGCUGCCUUGUAAGGAAGAAGAGUCGGAGUCAACGUCAACGACUGCCCAUUUCCAGACCAGCAGCUUCUUCACUAGUAACCAUUAUUCUCGGCAUCUGCUGCUUUUUCCAGCCAGGACUGCCCGCCGCCUUCUUGCAGAUGACGCCGAGACCUCUAAAUCCGGUUCCACCGGCACGUGUCCAGAGAAUUCUCCGUUGAACAAUUGUUGUAGUUCAGCCUCCUCCAACAUCGGCGGUGUAAGCAGUCCCAUAUUCUCAUCUAAGGAAAGUGGUUCACCUUCUAAUGGUGUGGGUACUGCGCCUGCUACUUGUCCAUAUUCCGAUGAUGGUUCUGCUGGCUGCAAGAAUACUUAUAAACACAGAGCCUCCUCUUUCCUUAGGGUUUUGCAGACCAAAAUAGAAAGAGGCUCUCUCUCAGUCUCAGACUCUGUAACGAUGUGGGACGAUUGCUAUGAACGUAAGUCUCUCUUGACACCUCCAUCCGCCUCUAAGCUUUGUCUGUCCAUUUCUUAUGUCAUCACAAACUGGCUCGAAUCUCUCCCUCAAGAACUCAUACCCGAAAUCCUAAUCAGACUACCCACCAAAUCCCUCAUCAAAUUCACCUCUGUCUGUAAAUCUUGGAACUCCACCAUCAAAGACCCAAAAUUUAUCCGCACCCACACUCUCAAUUUGAAUGACCGAAAUGCCACCCACCUCCUUCUCCUCCACGCUGUUCACUGUCAACGCUACUGGAGUAGAACUGAAGAAAGAGUCCAAAUCUCUGGGUUCCAAGAAGACACUUACUCUCUGCUUCAUGACGACACUGCUGUCUCUGAGUAUCGCAACAUUGAGUUACCAUUAGUUCUUGAUAAAAAAUUGAUCAAUCCGUGUUUUCGUGUGGUGGGUACUUGUAAUGGGCUGGUUUUGCUUGCUGAUGAUUUCGGGGAAUAUGGUCACACCAUUGUUAUAUGGAAUCCUAGUGUUAGGAAGUAUGUGACCCUUCCCAAGUUUUCGACGCGCCGUAAAUAUGAUGCUUCACUUGGUCUGGGUUAUGAUGCUAUUGGUAAUGACUAUAAGGUUGUGAGACUGACAGAUCAUAUCGACGAAUGUGAACCUGAUGAGUGCCGGAGUAAAGCUCAGGUGUAUUCACUGGCCAAGGGAGCUUGGAGCAUGCUGCGUCCUGUUCCUGAUUGUUUUUUGCCUGAUGAAUUUUAUGGCCUUGUUUUUGUCAAGGGGGCACUUCACUGGGUGGCUGCUGUUUGGACACACGGCGAGCCAUAUCCCUACUAUUUCAUUUUGACAUUUGAUGUGGCUGGUGAGACAUUUGGAAAGAUUGAGUUCCCCAUGAGAUUGGAAUUGGAGGACGUAGUGGACUUGAGGUUGUCUGUUUCUGGAGAUAGAAAAUCUAUUGCUCUGUUUGUGAAGUGUUUGAAUUUUGAGGGUGGUGAUUCUUUUCUUGAUAUUUGGGUAAUGAAAGAGUACAGUGAGGAGAAAUCAUGGACAAAAUUGGUGGCUCUCAGUCCACAAGGUCCGGAAAGAAGUCUACCCAGGGCAUGGGCAUUUUGUUUAAAGAGGAGUGGUGAAGUGAUAUUGCAACUUGACGGUAGCCCUGAGUUAGUUUCUCUUGACGUUUUGAGCAAACAGUUUAAACAUCUAGGAAUAUCUGGAGGGGAAAUUUGCUCUGUUGACUCUUUUGAAGAGAGCCUUGUCUUGCUCGACAGGAAUGAUGCAGGUUUAAGGCAAGCAACGGCGCUCUCUCUUCACUCACUCUCACUCUCAGGUCUCUCAGUCUCCUUCAAAAUGUGGGAGGAUUGCUAUGAAGGUAAGUCUCAGCUGAACCCUGCAUCAAUCUCUAAGCUUUGUUCGUCCAUUAAUCAUGUCUUCCAAAACUGGCUCGAAUCUCUCCCUGAAGAACUCAUACCCGACAUCCUAAUCAGACUACCCAUCAAAUCCCUCAUCCGAUUCACCUCUGUCUCCAAAUCCUGGAGCUCCACCAUCAAAAACCCAACCUUCAUCCGCACCCACCUCACCCACACUCGCAAUUCCAAUCACCAAAACUCCACCCACCUCAUUCUCAUACACAAUGUCUCCAAUGAAGGCACUUCCAAGCACAAUUAUGGAGAAGUUCCCCUUUCCGGGUUUAGAGAAAACUCUUACUCUCUGCAUUAUGACAACACUGCUGUUACUGAGCAUUGCAAGAUUGAGUUUCCAAUAGCUCUUAAGAAAAUGAUGAAGAAUCCCUGUUUUCGCGUUGCGGGUACUUGUAAUGGGCUUGUUUUACUGGCUGAUGAUGUAUGCCGUGAUGCUUACAACUUUGUUUUAUGGAAUCCUAGUAUAAGAAAGUAUGUGAUACUUCCUAAGCCCACUGUUAUGUCUUCGACACACGGUAAGCAUGAGGCUUCCGUUGGUCUGGGUUAUGAUGUUAUUAAUAAUGACUAUGAGGUUGUGAGAGUGACAUUUCUUAUGGAUAUACCUGGUAAUGGCUUCAGGACUUUAGUUCAGUACUAUUCACUAGCCACAGGCUCUUGGGGCAUGCUUCGGGUUCAUCCUCCAUGUGUAGUGAAUGCCACCAGGGGACAGGUUUUAGUCAAUGGGGCACUGCACUGGUUCGCUAUCCGUUGGGCCGAUGAUCAUAAAAUGAAAUUCAUGGUUAUGGGAUUUGAUGUGGGAAGAGAUAGAAAAUCCAUUGGUCUGUUUGUGAGGUGUGACACUGAGACUGAUAGCUAUCUUGAUAUAUGGGUGAUGAAGGAGUAUUUUGUUCAGAAGUCGUGGACCAAAUUGAUGAUUCUCACUCCACAAGGUCCGGAAAGAAGUUUGUCCAAGCCAAUUUGUUUUAGGAGGAGUGGUCAUGAAGUGGUGUUACAACUUGAAGAUGACCGUGGAUUGGUUUCACUUGACAUUGUGAGCAAACAGUUAAAAAGUCUCGGGAUUUCUGCAGGUCUGCUUGCUUUUGACAUUGUUUAUAUACUACUACCCAUCAAAUCCCUCAUCAAAUUCACCUCUGUCUCCAAAUCCUGGAACUCCACCAUCAAAAACCCAACCUUCAUCCGCACCCACCUCACCCACACUCUCAAUUCCAAUGACCAAAACACCCCUCACCUCCUUCUCCUCCACGCUGUCCACAGUGAAGGCACUUCCAAACCCUUUGGGAGAGUCCACAUUUCCGGGUUUCAAGAAGACCCUUACUCUCUGCAUUACGAUAGCAAUGAUGUCACCGAGUAUUGCAAGGUUGAGUUUCCGAUUGCUCUUAAGGAAGAAUUGGUCAACCCGUGUUUUCGUGUUGUGGGUACUUGUGAUGGGCUAGUUUUGCUUGCUGAUGAUUUGGGGCGGUAUUGUUACACAUUUGUUAUAUGGAACCCGAGUGUGAGGAAGUAUUUGACCCUUCCUAAACCUUCUAUGAGGUUUUCGACACACGGUGGGUAUGAUGCUUCGGUUGGUUUGGGUUAUGAUGCUGUUGGGAAGAGCUAUAAGGUUGCGAGGCUGACCACUCUUUUGGAUCACCCUGAUGAUGAACACCCGACGACUUUAGCUCAGGUUUAUUCACUAGCCACAGGCUCUUGGGGCUUGGUUCGUGUGCUUCCUCGAUGUGUUGUGCCGGGCUCCUGGGUCCAGGCUUUUGUUAACGGGGCGCUUCACUGGCUAGCGCUCCGUUGGAUGGGAGAUCAUUUUGUCUAUUUUGUUGUGGCAUUUGAUGUGGGGAGUGAGUCGUAUCGGGAGGUAAUGUUGCCCAAGAGGUUUAAGACGGAGAAGUCAGUGGAGUUGAGGCUGUGUGCUUCGGGAGAUAUGAAGUCCAUUGCUCUGUUUGUGAGGUGUAAGAGUGAGUCUGAUUGUUUUCUUGAUAUAUGGGUAAUGAAGGAGUAUUGCAUUGAGAAGUCGUGGACCAAAUUGAUGAUUCUCACUCCACAAGGUCCGAAAAGAAGUUUGCCGGAGCCAUUGUGUUUUAGGAGGAUUGGUGAAGUUGUGCUGGUACUUGAAGAUGACCGUGAGUUGGUUUCACUUGACAUUGGUAGCAAGCAGUUUAAAAGUCUUGGGAUUUCUGGAGGGCAGGUUUGUUCUGUGGACUUCUUUGAAGAGAGCCUUGUCUUGCUUGAUAGGAAGGAUGCAGUCUUCGUGUUACCUGAUAUAGUGGACUGUGGUCUCUGCGGAACUGAUGCUGCUACUUCAGUGAACUGUUCUUCUCCGUCUCUUGUAGACCAAUUGAAAGUUGAAGCAAUGGUAAUAAACUCUUUUCCUGAUGAUAUCAUCCCAGAUAUCCUGUUAAGACUGCCCGUCAAGUGUUUAAUACGAUGCACGUCGGUCUGCAAACCAUGGAAGUCCAUGAUCAAAAGCUCAAAGUUCAUCCACGCCCAUAUCAACCGUACAAUCAAAGCUAAUAACCAGCAGGGGACUCACCUUGUACUGCACCAUGGCCGCUACAAGCACCCUUCCAAGAAGGACAAAAGAGAUGAGGAGGUUUACUCCUUGCAUCAUGAUAACCAUGCUUUUGAUGAGUACUGCAAGAUAGAAUUUCAAAUUGAACGUAUGGUACAAAAGGGCAACCAUCGUUUCCGUGUUGCCGGCGUUUGUAACGGACUGAUAUGCCUGGCGGAUGAUACAUUUUCUAAAUGUUUCAACUACAUACUAUGGAAUCCAUCUAUAAGAAGGGCAGUGAUGCUUCCCUGGCCUGCUGUUACCUUCAAAUCUCAUGGACCGUUUGACGAUACUAUAGGGUUCGGGUUUGAUGCUUUGACCAGUGAUUACAAGGUUGUUAGGCUUGUCACUCCGGACCACUUUAGUCCCAAUGACGACGAGUGUAGUCUCGAACCAACUUUAGCUGAGGUUUAUUCACUAGCCACAGGCUCAUGGAGAAGUCUUGGUUCCAUUGCUUCUUGUUGCGAUAUAUCUUCAAAAAUAACCUACGUCUUGUUUAAUGGGGCUAUUCACUGGGCUGUACGUCGCUGGGAUGAUGAUUGCUCCUUCAUACUGACAUUCGAUGUGGGAAGUGAAUCAUUUGGCGAGAUAAUGAUGCCGGAGAGUAUCAGGUCGCAUCAGUUCUUAUUAAGCGAAUCAAAAGUUUCUGUCUCAGGGGACGGAAAAUCCCUUGCUCUUUUCACUAGUAGUAGAAAGGAUUAUAAGGAUGAUCCCUUUCUUGAUAUAUGGGUGAUAAAAGAGUAUGGCGUGCAGGAAUCGUGGGAUAAAUUGAUGACUCUCGGUCCACAAAGAGGGAUACCCAGGCCAUUGCGUUUUAGGAAGAGCGGUGAAGUAUUCUUGCUACAACAAGAGUACUCUUUCUAUGAGACUGUAUUAGCUUGGCUUGACCUUGCCAGCGGGAAGAUUGACAGACCCGAGAGUUGUCAAAAGAAGUAUUGCAACUCUGUCGAUUCAUAUGAAGAGAGCCUUGUUUUACUCGACGUCGGCAAUGCAGUCGAACCAGAACUCAUGAGGAAUAGUAUAACUGAGUUUGAGGAUAAAGUGGUGCAUGACAGGGAGGAUGAAGAAGUUAAUGCAAGUAGAGUAGUGACUCAUACAAUGUCCAUCAUCAAGAACACAAGUUUUGUUCGUGCCCAUCUUAGCCAUAACGUUAACAACCGGGAUGGUGCUCACCUUCUACUACUGCACAGUGGUUGCUGCGGAACUUCCCAUCCAAUAAAAGAAGAGGUUUACUCUUUGCAUUAUGAUAACCGUGUUUUUGAAGAGUACUGCAAGAUAGAUUUUCAUAUUCUCCGUGUUGCAUUAGGAAUGGGCGAGCAAAAUUUCCGAGUGGUCGAUAUUUGUCACUGGCUGGUUUGCUUAGCGGACAAUUCAAUCGCUAAAACUUCGAAAUAUAUGCUAUGGAACCUCUCAAUAAGAAAGGCAUUGAUGCUUCCCUCGUCUGGUCUGACCUACAUCACUCAUGGUCACUUUGAAGAGUCUAUUGGGUUCGGGUUUGAUGUUGUGACCAGUGAUUACAAGGUUGUUAGGCUUGUCACUGUCGAUGGUCGGGAAACUUUAGCUGAGGUUUAUUCCCUGGUCAGGGACUCAUGGAGAAGCCUUGGUUCUGUUAAGCCUUCCUGCCAAAUAUAUGGAACACAACCCUCCGCCUUCUGCAAUGGGGCUAUUCAUUGGGUAGUAAAACGUUGGACUAAUGGUGCUUUUUACUAUUUCAUAUUGACAUUCGAUGUCGGAAGUGAAUUAUUUCGUGAGAUAACGAUGCCGGAGAGUACCAAGUACCCAUUAUUAUGGGAAUCAAGAGUGUCUGUUUCAGGAGAUGGGAAUUCACUUGCUCUCCUCAGUACGUAUAGGAGGUACACAGGCAACGAUUAUCUUGUUGAUCUAUGGGUCAUGAAAGAUUAUUGUGUGCAGGAGUCGUGGACUAAAAUGAUAACUCUUGGUCCACAAAGAGAUAUACCCAAGACAUUAACUUUUGGGAAGAGCGGUGUAGCAUUCUUGCUAGUAGGAGAUUACUUUCAGAAGAAUAGAUUGGUUUUGCUUGACAUGAGAGCAGGAACCUUGUUUUACUCGGCACGGACAACACAGUUUCUUACUGAACAGUCAGGGGCUCAUGGAGAAGCCUUGGUUCUAUUCAGCGUUCCUGCCAAAUAUAUGGUAAACAACCCUCCGGUAGUAAAACGUUGGAGUAAUCUUGCUUAUUACUAUACCAUUUUGUCAUUCGAUGUUGGAAGUGAAUUAUUUCGUGAGAUAAUGAUACCAGUGAGUAUCAAGUACUCAUUCAUGUUGGAAACGCAAGUGUCUGUUUCAGGAGAUGGGAAUUCGCUUGCUCUCUUCAGUACAUAUAAGAGGCACAGAGAUGAUGGUGAUCUUGUUGAUAUAUGGGUCAUGAAAGAUUAUCGUGUGGGGAAGUCAUGGACUAAAUUGAUAACUCUCGGUCCAGAAAGAGAUAUACCCAAGACAUUAGCUUUUGGGAAGAGCGGUGAAAUUUGUUGUUAUGAAGAGAACCUCAUUCUACUCGGCAUGGACAAGUUUCUUACUAAACAUGUGCUCAAGGGAAGUCGGCGGUGGCGCGCGGGGGGACUGAGAAUGCGGGUCGUUGGGAUCGCAGGAGCUAUCAACCUCGCCGGGCUCGCUCUUCGGCUGCUGGUGGCCGUCGAUCCUGAGCUGCAUCAACGGCCGGUGAUUAACACUGUGGCCGUUAAUAUUGUUAAAAUUCUCGUCGUUGUUGCCGUUACUAUUGUUGGUGUUCAUAAUCUCGUCGUUGUUGCUGUUCUGGUCGGACGGCGAGGAAGGGUUCGAGGACGACGUGACGGUGGGAGGGACGGCGAUGUCGUCGGAGAACAUGGACAUGAGCUGCUCGUCGUCGAGUCGAUCGAACGAUCCUGCAAUGUUGUUGGCGCCGUGGACGGUGGGGUUCCUAUGGUCGACGUCGUCGAGCACGUUAAGCGGCGACUCGAGGAACGCAAUGGAGUCGCUGGCGGAGCGGCGGUGCGCCCCGCGCCGGGCGGAGGAGAAGUCAAGGAACUCGUCCAUCCAGCAGGAAGAAGACUGCUGCUGAGGGGGAGGAGGAGAAGAAGGGGGUGGUUGAGGGCGGCGGUGGAGGAGGGGAGAAAGUUGGCCAUGGAGGGCAUUAUUCUGUGCAAAGCCAUGGCGGAGGAACGAGCUCCCAGCGCCGCACACAGUGUACAACCCCUGCACAAAGUCCGUCGGCGUCUCCGGAACAUCCACCGGCUUCCACCGCAGCUGAGUCGGCGUGGUGAAGCUGUUGGAGUCGUUGAACUCGCUGACGAGCCGGCCGUGGCUGGGCCGGAGCGGCUUGAAAGGCUCGUGAGUGACGGAAGGCUUGAUCCGGUAGAGCCAGGAGCGGAGGUUGAGCUUGCGCGGCGAGGUGAAGGAGGUGCCGGAGAUUUGCUCGGCGUAGAGGCCGUAGGGGCAGAGGAGGGGGCUGCUCUGGCCGGAGGGGAGAGCGCCGGGGAGAGCUUCGGAGGAGAAGUGGUUGUGGAAGCCGGACUGAGAUCUGUUGAGAGGUUUUUUGUACCCUCAUCGUUUUCCAAUGUUGGAAUGAAUCCAAAUCGGUGUUUUAGUUCUAUGGAGGUGAAUAAACCAGAAGGGAAGCCUUCUGUGAAACGCCUGGGUAAUCUUACAAGCACAUGGAAUGAGUUUGCUGCCUAUCUCAACAAGAAGCAGAUACAAACCAGAUGCAAAGAAGCGAAUAUGUCUGGGAGCGAAAGCCAUUCUGCCAUCCUUAAACAAUUUUCUGGGUUUCUUGCAGAAACUGGUUUUGUUCCACAUGAAGAAGCUUCAGGUACUCUAUCAUCUUUGUCUACUGCUCUCACUCAAAAUGGAAUUGCUGAAAGGAAGAAUCGAGAUCUGCUUGAGAAAACAAGAGCUCUCAUAUUCCAAAUGAAUGUACCUAAGAGUUUCUGGUCUCAAAGUGUGCUCACUGCUACUUAUCUCAUCAAUCGUCUGCCUAGUAGAGUACUUGGUGGUAAGUCCCCUCUUGAAGUGUUGAAAGGAAGGAAGAUUGAUAUCUCUCACCUGAGAGUAUUUGGUUGUGUUUGUUUUGUUCACAUACAAGCUAAACAAAGAGGGAAACUUGAUCCUCGGGCUGAAAAGUGUGUGUUUUUAGGAUAUUCAUCCACUCAAAAGGGUUACAAAUGCUACAGCCCCUCUUCUAAAAAGAUCAUUGUCUCCAGGGAUGUUAGAUUCGAUGAGAAUACUUCUUUCUUUGCUGGGAAAUCAGAUGGUUUCAGUCAGGGGGAGUCUUUAUUUGAUCUGUUUCCAACUCCCAAUCUUCCUGUCAAUGAGGAUAGUAGACAGUCUUUCCAUCAUACUGCUUCAGUUCCAGCUUCGAGUUUCAGUCAUCCUGUUGUUGGGGAUUCCAGUCAGCAUUCCUAUCCUACUGCUUCGGUUUCAGAAGUUCUAGCAGUGCUUCCAAAUCCAGAUGUUGACCAAUCUGAAUUACCUGUGCAACCUGUUGUUGAGCCUCUUUCUCCACCUCCAACUGUACCUCGUAGAAAUCCUACGCGAGUACGAGGUCCUCCAUCAAAGCUCCAAGAUUACGUGACAUAUGCUGCGAGGUAUCCAAUGACUGCCUUCAUCUCUUAUAAAAGGUUCUCUUCUGCUCAUUCUGCUUUUCUCAGCACCCUUGAUGCUACUCAUGAACCUCAAAGCUUUGAUGAAGCAAAUCAAUAUGAAGUGUGGAAACAGGCUAUGGCAGAUGAAAUUCAAGCCCUUAAUGAGAAUAAAACAUGGAGUGUGGUUAAGAUUCCUCAAGGGAAGAAAGCAGUAGGCAGUAGAUGGGUGUAUAAGACCAAGUUUCACUUAGAUGGCACUGUAGAAAGACAUAAGGCUCGAUUGGUAGCUAGGGGUUUCACUCAAACCUAUGGAGUUGAUUACAAAGAAACCUUUGCUCCUGUUGCAAAAAUGAGUAUUGUUAGGGUUCUUCUUUCGGUUGCUAUGAAUCAUGGUUGGCCUCUUUUUCAAAUGGAUGUGAAGAAUGCUUUUCUACAUGGUGAUCUUGAAGAGGAGGUUUAUAUGAAAUUGCCUCCUGGUCACCCUCAAUCUUCUAAUCCUAAUAUGGUAUGCAAACUUCACAAAGCCAUUUACGGCUUGAAACAAUCUCCUCGAGCUUGGUAUGCCAAGCUUAGUUCUGUGCUUGAAGAAGUUGGUUUUCAUAGCAGCAAUGCAGAUUCCUCAUUAUUUGUUCGAAUUGGUUCAACAAGUAAGCUUGUGGUGCUUAUUUAUGUUGAUGAUUUAAUUGUGACAGGUGAUAAUCUAGAAGAGAUUAAUGUUCUCAAGCACUCUCUUCGUUGCAAGUUUGCUAUUAAGGAUUUGGGGCGUCUUAAGUACUUCCUUGGUAUAGAAAUGGCUACUUCUCAUAAAGGAUUGUUUCUAAAUCAAAGGAAGUAUGUUCUUGAUUUGCUGAAAGAGUCAGAGUUGUGGGACAGCAAGCCUACUAGCACUCCCCUUGACAAUAAGUGGGAUAGCAAGCCUGCCAGCACUCCUCUGGACAGCAAGCUUCAGUUUGAUACUUUAAGUCCUUUUCUCUCUGAUGUGACCUCUUAUCAAAGGCUGGUUGGUAAGUUAAUUUACCUUACAAUCACUCGGCCAGACAUUACUUUUGCUGUGAGUAUUAUUAGUCAAUUUAUGCAAGCUCCUACUCAAGCUCAUCUUCGCAUUGUUAAGAGAAUUCUUCGUUAUCUUAAAGGUUCUGCUGGUAGAGGUAUUUUGUUGAAAAACAAUGGUCAUACUGAUAUCUUAGGCUACACAGAUGCUGAUUGGGCAGGAAAUUCUCUUGAUCGUAAGUCCACUACAGGUUUUUGUACCUUUGUAGGUGGUAACUUGGUCAGUUGGAGAAGCAAGAAACAAACUGUUGUUGCCCGUUCUAGUGCCGAAGCUAAAUAUCGAGCUAUGGCUUCCACUGCUUGUGAGCUUAUUUGGCUGAAGGGAUUGCUGUCUGACUUGGGAUCCCCUAGCAGUCAACCAAUGUCCCUUUAUUAUGAUAAUCAAGCUGCAAUGCACAUUGCCUCUAAUCCUGUCUUUCAUGAGAGAACUAAGCAUAUAGAGGUCGAUUGUCAUUAUAUACGAGCUCAAGUUCAGUCCAAGUCUCAUAUACCAAGAAGAAAUAUCAGAAAAGCUUCUGCAAGUUUGUGUUUGGUUUUUCCACAUAACCAACCAUUCCUCCUCCGGCAAAAUUCCACCGGAAAACUCUCCGAUUUCACCACAAGUUUCAGCUUUUCAACAUAUGGCUCCGACUACGAACAACCAUCCCAAUGGUACACCGGUUGGGGACUCACGUUCUUCAUAGCGCCAAACGGUUCCUGUAAUGGACCUAAUAGCACACUCGGAUAUGGUGCCGGUCUCGGCCUCCCCUCCGAUCAUCAGUUCCCAUUUGUGGCGGUAGAGUUUAAUAUCUACCAAACACAGGAAGCUUUACGCGGCAUGGAUGAAGAUAUCGAAGGCCCUAAGGGAGAUCAUGUUGGCAUCGACGUCAACACGGUCAAGUCCUUGACUACCAAGCUCUGGAAUGGUAGUAUUGAUGAUGGACACAACAAUAAUGUUACUAUUAGUUAUGAUUCGAGCACCAAAAAUCUCAGCGUGGAAUUCACUACUUUCUUGGAGGGCACGCAACAGAUGGACUAUCUUUCUUACAAAGUUGAUCUGAGACAGUACUUACCCGAUUGGGUCAUUGUGGGGUUCUCAGCUUCAACAGGUUUAAACAAACCUGCUUUACAUAAGAUCAUCUCACGGAGCUUUAGUUCAACUCCUCUGGUUGAUGAUGAGAGUGCAAGGGAAAACACCGCAACUGUUUCAAAAUUGAACUCCGGCAAUGGCAGCAAGGGACUGGUGGUUGGUUUGGGGGUUGGUGCAAGUAUUAUUCUAGUAGGUAGAUUGGCUUUUGUUUGCUUUAUCUUUUGGAAGAAGAAAGAAGAAAUGGAAAGUGAUGAUGAUUCUAGGUUUCGUGAUGCUAUAGACCAAGAAUUUGAACAGGGAACUGGCCCGAGGAAGUUCACUUAUGGCGAAUUAGUUCGCGCAACUGGUAACUUUCCGGAGGAAGAAAAGCUGGGAGAAGGAGGAUUUGGUGGGGUUUAUAAGGGAUUCAUUAGAGAUUUGAACUCCUUCGUUGCUGUUAAGAGGAUAUCAAGAGGAUCUUCACAAGGGAUCAAGGAGUAUGCAACAGAAGUAAGGAUCAUCAGUCGACUUAGGCAUCGGAAUCUGGUGCAACUCCUAGGUUGGUGCCAUAAGAAGGAAGAAAUGCUACUUGUAUACGAGUUCAUGCCCAACUGCAGCUUAGAUUCACAUUUGUUCAAAGAAAAAAGCUUGUUAACUUGGGAGACAAGGUACAGAAUAGCUCAAGGCUUGGCCUUCGGGUUGCUCUAUCUACACGAAGGAUGGGAACAAUGUGUGCUGCAUAGAGAUAUCAAAUCUAGCAAUAUUAUGUUGGAUUCAGCUUUCAAUGCAAAACUUGGGGAUUUCGGGUUAGCUUGUGGAUCAUGGAAAACAAUCACAAACGACCCAUGUGGGAGGAAAGCCAUCGAUCCCAAGUUGGAUGGAAAUCAAGUCAAUAUUGUCGAAUGGGUUUGGAAGCUUUAUGGACAAGGGAAGGUCACUGAAGCAGCUGACCCAAAACUCUGCGGUGAUUAUGACCAGAAGCAAGUAGAGUGGUUACUAAUAGUUGGGUUGUGGUGUGUUCACCCAGAUUACAUAACCAGGCCUUCUUUACAACAAGCAAUUCAAGUGCUGAAUUUCGAAGUCCCAUUGCCCAUUCUGCCAUCAAGUAUGCCGGUGGCAACCUAUUCUGCUCCUUCGCUGCUCCUUCAGAAUAAGCCCUCAACAGAGGUAAACCUGCUCAAUGUAACAGAAUCGCACCACGACAUUCCGGUUAUUCUCGAAAGCCGCAAACGGAAGUUCACCGGCGACGGGGCUCAGGCAGCAGCAUCGUCGCGGCUCCUAAACCGCAUCGUUUUAUCACUAAGCAAGCCCUCCACUCUUCUCGGCAUCGGCGCCACCAGACCGAGGACCUUGCACCGCGCCAAGCUCGAAAACCUCCUCCGGAAGCUCGUCAGACACCACAGCUGGGUCGACGCCGCCGGCGUCCUCAGCGUGUUGCUCGGCGGCCGAGCCGGCGAGACGUCGCCGGCGAACAACCGCUUCAUGUAUUGGGUUAUGAUGGAAAUGGUGGAGCGUUUGUCUGAGGAGGACCUGGAUGAGCUUUUGCCUGGUAGUUAUUCGAAGGAGAUGUGGAUUAAGAAUGUGUUUGAAGUUUGGGAGAAGAAGAAUGAUAAGUCAAAGGCGAAGUUAGAUGAGUACAGACAUGCUGUUGAACUUGAGCGCAUUACCCUCUCGCUUGCUCAACAGAAUCUUAAGGAGGCUGAAGCUGGUGCUUUCAGUCUCAUGCAAUUAAAGGGUUUCCGAGAUGACCCUCUUCGAAAUAUGAUCGUUGGAUUGACAUUCCUACAGUUGUGGUAUUCCAAGCUCCCAAAAGAGAUGCAAUGGAGGGAGUCUGACCAGUUUUAUAGUAGGGAAUCAAAUGAACUAGUUGCAGGCUCAGUGGGGCAUGGCUCUGUUAACACUAACGAGGCUGGUAGGGCCAUUCAUUGUGACUCAGACACCUCUGUCAUGAAUGAUACAGUAGAGAAUGUACUACCUAUUGUUGCUCAUGAUGCUGACAGUGGCUUACAUAGAGAGAUCUCUGUGGAGGUUGAUGACAUGAAAGUAGAAAUUUCUCCAGUGAUAUUUGAGACCCAAAAUUUCUAUGCGGACUCUGCUCAAAACUCAGAAGAUGAAGCUGCUUUCUCUGAUCAUGGUGGUCAAAUGCAGUAUGCUUCCAUUUUUUCUGAACUUGUGGGAUUGGAGUCACUGUUACUGCCCAUACGAUUGCCAGAGUCUCUUGAUAAUGAUGAAGAUAAGAAUAUUUUUAAUGACUAUUACAAGGAUGCAGUGAAGUACUUACGACAUGCUCUUCACUCCUCCCCCCUGGUAUUGGUAGCCUUGUAUCCUUUGAUACAGGAUGGUCUGAGAUUGAGGGCUAGCCUUCUGCAGCAAUUUGAUUGUAAUAACAAGCCUGUGCUUUCCACUUGUCUGGAGGACUUCUUAAAGAAGGAUCCUACAUGUUGUGAUUCAUUGGGAAAGCUUAUUCUGUUGCAUCAAAAUGAUGAUUAUAGUUAUGAGUCCCUACUUGAAAUGAUAGCUUUGCAUUUGGAUGCCACCACUGCUGAAUACAACAUAUGGAGAGAGUAUGCCAUGUGUUUCCUGAAGCUUUCUCAGUCUGAAGAGGACAGAUUGUCGGUGUGUCUGAAUGGAGAUGAAGAUGAACCGAAACCACGGUACUCUGUUUCUUUCAAUAAGACCCCAGAAAUAUUUUUAAAGGGACAAUCCAGAAAGAAUUGGAAAUUGCGUUGCAGAUGGUGGUCUACACGUCACUUCAGCCAUGAAUUACUUGCAUCAGAGAUUGCAGCAGGUGAUUUGGAGCUCCUAACUUACAAAGCAGCAAGCGCAGUGCAUAUGUAUGAUUCUGAGUUCCAUUACGUUGUGGAUGCUAGGUGCUGCUUAGAGAAAGAAAACGAGUGGGACUUGCUCAUCUUUUUGCAGAUGCACAUUCGAAAUUCUUACCUCUGGGAUUGGGAGGACCUUGAUGAGCUCAAAGCAAGAGUCUCCUGCCUGUUGUACUUGACGUUCCUUGCCUGCUCACGGUCCAUCUGGUACGCGUUGGCGAGGACCACGUCGGGUAGUGCCCGCAGGACGGAGGUCCUGCCAGCCAGAGUGUUAACCAUGGCAUUGUCAUCGGUCUUGAAGGCAAUGUACUCGUAUCCGUCGCUCAUGGCCUUCUGCAACACGGCGUGGUUUUGUGGCACGAUGAAGAGCUUGGGGGCUGUGGAUAGCAUUGUUGUAAAGGAAGCCUCUCUCGGCACUGAGGCGAAGGAACCUGAGAAUAGGCAGGCUGAAGCUGUUGAGGGUGCUGAUGCGACCGGCUUGCGGGCUGAAGACGUCAGCCAUGGAAGGGUUGCCGAUGUUCUGCUUGAUCUUCAUGUGGCAGAAUACCUCCUCAAAGCCAUUAUGGCCUUUCUGCUGGUCGAUGUUGAGAGCAUCGGCGAGGAGCCGAGCCUCGAAGCCGGAGAAGAUGUUGUUGUUGUUGUUUCCCUGCUGUUGGUGCUUCAUGCUCCUUCCUUGUUGUCCUGGUCGUCUCUGUUGGCUCUGGCCUUGUUGUUGGUUGAAGUUGAACUCAUCUUGUGGGUUACCAGCAAGAUAGAAUCGCCUUGGGUUUUGGUCAAGCUGGUUGUGGUUGUUGCUGAUGUGGCUAUUGGUUUCAGAGGAGAUACAAAGUGCCCAGAACUAGGUGGCAACAAGACAAAGUAUCGCUGGGCGACACAGUUGCAAAGACGUGUGCAUGGACGUGCAGUAAAUGUAGCGAUCCGCCCUCUCGAUGAAACAAAAGCUAUUGCAGCUGCUACCGAUUUUCUUGGAGAACUUGUCAUCUUCACCGUUGCAGGACUCGGUAUAAUGUAUGAGGUGAAUAGGACCUACAAGUCAGAGGCUAAGAAGGAGGCAAAACGCAAGGAAGAAUUAGAGGCACUGAAGCUGAAGGACGAGAAUUUACAAAAAGAAGUGGAAUCUCUAAGGCUCAAGCUGCUAGAGAUGGAGAAACAAUUACAAAGAAGAAGCAGCUGGCUGGACUACUUGAGGCUAUCAACUCUGUUCCGACAAGCAGCUGCUGAACAACAAAAGACAGCAUCAGGAAUGAAUGCUUCCAGGCUAGUGCCGGCAACAAAUUGGCAAUCGUUUGGAAGUUGGGCGACACACCUAGGUAAAGUUGGCAAGAACCUUGCUCUUGCAAUUGGGUCGGAUCUUGAGGCUCAGUUCGAAAGCAAGGUGAAGAAGAUCAUGGCAUCUACUGGGUUAAAUCUGACGGCGGUGGUCGACAUGGAUGAACUGGUUGAAGGUUGCCACAUGGUUUGCAAGGCAUGGUGGCCGGCCUAUUUGGGUGCCGUCGGAACAGAUGGUGCUAGAAGGAGCAGCACCAAGAUCCUAGGGUCUGGGUGUGGGCUUGGGUCAUUGGGCCUUGGCCUUGGCUCACACCAAAACAAGCUCAAACUUGAGGCUCAGUUCGAAAGCAAGGUGAAGAAGAUCAUGACAUCUACUGGAUUCCUAAGGCAUCCUGAAACCACAAUCAUUGGCUACGAAAAUCAUUGCAGAAAAGCUUGGGUUGAGAGAAUGUUGCAGAUUGAAGCAAAGGAUAGAGGUCAGUCCCUAACAGUAAUAUCCAGCACUAUAUCAGCAGCAAAUUUCUUGGCUUCAACCUCUUUAGCCUUGAGUUCUUUGAUUGGAGCAUGGGUUGGAAACUCUUCAAACAGCACCCUCAUCACUACUUUUACAUAUGGUGACACAAGCCCUGCCAUUAUGUCUAUCAAAUACGUUAGCAUUCUGGCCUGCUUUCUAUUAGCUUUGGCUUCUUUCUUACACUGUAUAAGGAGCUUUGUCCAUGCCAUUUUCCUCAUCAGCAUGCCGAACAGUGAUACACCUCUGAGUGAUGUUCAGAAGGCUGUGAUACAUGGAGGCCUUUUUUGGACAUUGGGGUUGAGAGCAAUCUAUUUUGCUACUACUAUGCUCCUCUGGCUUUUUGGUCCAAUUCCGAUGUUUGUUUGUUCAGUGACUCUGGUGUUGAUUCUGCACUCGCUGGAUUCCAAUUCCACUCCAUUGCACCAGUUCCAACCAGUCAGGAGUCAUGAUAAUAGGUUAAUGAAGAAACUUGCCGAAGAGAAAACCCGGAUAGAGAGGGUUAUCGAGCAACACGAAAGAUCGAACAUGGAUGAUAGCAGAACUCAAGGUUCUAACCGUCAACAAUCACCUACCUCUGGUAAAGAUUUCAGUUCAGAGGGAAGGAAGACAGUGAACACUGUGUUUCAAGCAGAUCUUUUUGGACAUCCAAAGAAAGCAUAUAUAUGCAGAGCUGAUGUUUACUCCAUAGCCCACAAGAAAGAAGUAUCGAACAGUGCUCUUUUCUUCUACAUGAGCUACUUGAAUAAAGUGUUAAAGCAGAACAAGAUGGAGGAUAUGAUACGGUUUGUCGACUCUGAUAAAGUCAGUGCAAUUGGAAGUGAAACUCCCACAGCGAGGUCUCGUGAUUUGUCCGUUAUGUACAAGAAUGGGAAGCCUGGGCAGAUCUAUUUGAUUCCAUAUAACACAGGUCAACACUGGACCUUGACGAUUGUGAACCCGGAAUUGGAAACCGCACGCUAUAUGGAUCCACUGAAAAGGCACUUGGAUGGAAGUGAAUGGCCUGCUAUUGUCACUGACUCCAUAAAAAUGUACAAAGGCCUACUGAAGAAGCAGCUUGGAAAGAAGAAAGCAUCUCCUUGGAAACCUCUACUUGGUGCUCCGAUACAAAAAGAUGAUGUGAGUUGUGGAUAUUACGUCAUGCGCUACAUGAAGGAAAUUGUGGAGGACAACAACAUUGACCUUGAUAAAAAGCUAGCUCUUGGAACUACCAACACCGGUACCCAUAACAAUAUGGAUCCCUCAAGCUUCCACAUAGCAAUGUUCCCAUGGUUCGCCAUGGGUCACAUGACCCCCUACGUCCACCUCUCCAACGAGCUUGCCUCUCGCGGCCACCGCAUCACUAUCUUGGUCCCCAAGAAAGCUCAAGACCAGCUCCAACACCUCAACCUCCACCCCAACCUCAUCAUCUUCCGCCCUGUCCUCGUCCCCCACUUUGAGGGCCUCCCCGAGGGCACCGAAACCGCCUCCGAGAUCCCCUUAUCCGCCAGCUGGCUCCUCGCCGCAGCUGUGGACAAAACCCGGAAACAGCUCGAGGAGUACAUGCAGGCUCACAAGCCUGACAUGGUCUUCUACGACGCUGCAUGUUGGAUACCGGAGAUUGCUAGGAAGCUUGGGAUUAAGACCGUUUGCUAUAAUGUCGUUUGCGCGGCUGCUCUUGCAUGUGCAGUUGUCCCGGCUAGGAAACUGCCCAUUACGGCGGAAGACCUUGAGAAUCCGCCGGCAGGGUACCCUUCCAAGACCGUAGUGCUUCGUGGCGCCGAGUCCCGGUCUUUGAUGUUCCUUACAAGGCCGUUUGGGGAUGGUAUCACAUUUUACGACAGGGUUACGAAGGCGUUGAAAGAAUGUGAUGCCAUAUCUAUUAGGACAUGCAGAGAGUUAGAGGGUGACUUGUGUGAUUACAUGGAAGCUCAGUUUAACAAGACUGUGCUUUUAACUGGUCCUGUGUUGGGGCUCGGAGAUGAGAAAGGCCAGCUAGAAGAGAGGUGGUCUAAGUGGCUAAGUGGGUUCGAGCCUGGAUCCGUUGUGUACUGCGCAUUUGGUACCCAGUACAUACUUGAGAAGGACCAGUUUCAAGAGCUGGUGUUAGGGUUUGAGCUAACCGGGUUGCCAUUUUUGAUAGCACUGAAGCCACCUAUGGGAUGUGAUAGUGUGGAAGAGGCACUGCCUCAAGGGUUUGAGGAGAGGGUUAAAGGGAGAGGGGUGGUGUUUGGGGGUUGGGUUCAGCAGCCAUUGAUCUUGAGCCAUCCCUCAGUCGGGUGCUUUGUGAAUCAUUGCGGUUUUGGUUCUAUGUGGGAGUCCUUGCUGACGAACAACCGGAUUGUGCUGGUGCCGCACUUGGGUGAUCAGAUGUUGAACACCAAGCUACUGGUGAAUGAGCUCAAGGUUGCAGUGGAGGUGAAGAGGGAAGCGAAUCGGUGGUUUUCGAAGGAAAGCUUGAGCAAGGCUAUUAGAAGUGUGAUGGAUAAAGAGAGCGAGGUGGGUGUUAUGGUGAAGAAGAACCAUGCCAAAUGGACUGAGACACUAUCAAGUCCAGGGUAUAUGAGUGGUUAUGUUGAUAGAUUUGUCCAGAUAUCCGGGCUAACUGCCAGUACAGAAACUGCUCAAAGUAAAGUUUCCAUUGGAGUAGGAUUGCUGGUUGGAUCAACUGUUUUCUACCUUACAGCUGUGUGGGGAUUGUGUGUUUAUGCUGGCAAGUGUGAUCUUGAGGGUAAGGAAAGCCAAGAUACAACAGACACUAAAAUGUUCAGCCUCUUAGGAGAGCUCCUAACCAGCAAUGGUGAACCUAAUAAAGAUGUUCUGGAAAGGCUGUUUAAGACCCUCGAUACGGAUGGAAGUGGAUUUGUUUCACCUGAUGAAAUGAGAACACUGGUUAUCAAAAUCCAAUCUGCAGAGACUGGCUCGAUUAGGAAUCAUGAUCACUUGGAUAACAUUAUGAAAGUAUUCGAUAGGUCUGGUGAUAAAUGCAUCGAUGUUACAGAGUUUAUCGAGCACAUAUCAGUGUGGCUUAAUAAGGCCAAACGUCCAAAGAAUGCUUUUCAUGAGCCUGGCCGUCGCUCAUUUAAGUACUCGUUUAAGGGCAUGCAGAAGGUAAUAAACCGAGAGCACUACAUGUUGGUGUCUGAUAAAAAUAAGAGGGAGGAGGAUGUUAAAAGCCCCAAGUGGAUCUCCUUCAAAGCAGCAAUGAUGUUGUUACUUGGAACUUCUCUUGCUAUUCUAGUUGCUGAACCUUUGAUAGAUGCUGUUGAUGAUUUCUCGGAAGCCACCAGCAUUCCAACCUUCUUUGUAUCAUUCAUGGUGUUGCCUUUAGCUACAAGAUGUAGCGAAACAUUGUCAGCAAUCAAAAUGGCUCGCCAGAAGACCAGAAAACAGUAUCAUCAACAUUGUCCAAGGGGAUUGUAUUGGGACUUCGGAUCUGAGGUGCUGGUUCUUGUCAUCGUUUGCACUGUGAUGGCAUUAUUAGUCCAAGUCAGAGGCCGUUCUUUUCGAUAUAUUGCUACUGUUACAACAACUGCUCAAUCGGUUUCAGACGGUGUUGAUGAUCAUCAUCAUCAUAAUGUUGGAUUCAACCAUAGUAACGGAACGAUCAGAAGCUCCUUCCAACUUCUCAAAGGAAUUGAAGCCGAGUCUAACGAGACCUGUGAGCAACUGUACGGGUUCUUGCCGUGCUCGGACAGUGUUUACGGGCAUGUGUUCUUGAUGGUGGUGUAUGAGUACUUGCUGUUCCAUGGAGAGUCGUAUUUGGCCGCCGGUGGUGAGCAGAUCUUCAAGAUUCUGGGUCCUGGUGUCUUCGGUGCCAGUGCUUUCCAUGUCCUCGGCGCCCUCCCAGAGUCUUUGUUGCUUCUUGCUUCUGGAUUCUUUAACACGAAGGAGAUUGCUGAAGAUUAUGUGUACACUGGGGUUGGAUUGUUGGCUGGAACAUCAAUUUUGCUUCUAACAGUGCUUUGGGGGACUUGUGUAAUUGUUGGCCGGCAACACUUCACAAGUUGUAAUGAUGCAAAUUCUUCAACAGCUUUUUCAUGGGAAAGAAUACUUGCGUUAUUGACAAAUUGCGGUAUUACAAUUGAUAUGGAGACCAGCGUCCUCGCAAGGAUCAUGAUUUUCUCAGUGAUUCCAUUUCUCAUAAUGCAAAUCCCCAAUAUCUUUCACUCCUCCUCUGCGGAAAACAUUUUUAUCUUGAUUGCUCUCAGUGUUUCCAUCAUAUUCCUAUUGCUGUACUUCAUUUAUCAGGUCUUCCGGCCCUGGGUUCAAAAAAGAAGAUUAGAAUUUGUGAAACAUGGGCAUUUGGUAUCAGACAUUUUACAGCAUGUGCAAAAACAUGCACUAGGGAGAAUCCUCACAGUCCAAGGAGCACCUAACGUACGUGCCAUACGAAGGCUAUUUGAGGAAAUGGAUGAAGAUGGUGACAAUCAUAUAUCAAUUCCUGAAGUAAAGAAACUUCUUCAGGAAAUCCAAUUCACAUCAUUGGAAAAUGAUGAGGACAAAGGAAUAGCAGAAGUGAUGCAAAAGUUUGACGUCGAUAACGAUGGAAAAAUUAGUAAAGAUGAAUUUAUGAAUGGCUUCACAAAAUGGCUUGAUGUGUACAAGUCACUGCAUAAAGAAAAUACCGAAAGAUCGUUGGAGGACAUGUAUCAGGUCUUUCAACCUUGGAUUCAAAAUAGAAGAAAAGAACGGGAAAUGAAGACAAAUUUGAUGUCAGAAGUAUUAAGACACAUCCAGGGCAAUUCAUCAGUUGGAGCGAUUCUCACAGAGAAUGGCAUGCCUCAUAAGGACAAUAUUAGAAGCUUGUUUGAACAGAUUGAUCGUGAUGGAAAUAACAAUAUAUCAGAAGCAGAACUAAGAGAACUGAUCAUGAACAUCAAGUCUGGUAACAUUCCACUUGACGUGGAUGAAUCAGUUAACAAAUUGGUAGAAGAACUUGACACAAGCGGAGACCAUAUGAUUAAUGAGGAAGAAUUCGUUACUGGUUUAACAAAAUGGAUGAAUAAAUCCCAUGAUUCCCAAGGUCUUCCCUCAUUAGAGUCGGAGGAUGAUCUCUACCAAAGAACUUGGGAUGCAACAGAUAAGUUGGUGGAUGAAGAGACUAGCAGCGGUAGACCUGUUGACAAGUCAUUAUGGGGUUGGUUCAAAGCCAUUUCAUAUAUGGUGAUCGGGUUUGUUGUACUAGCAGUUCUAGCAGAACCUCUCAUAGAUAAUGUUCAGGACUUCUCCACAGCUGCAGGAAUACCUUCUUUCUUCGUAGCAUUCGUGCUUGUCCCGUUAGCAACCAAUGCUAGACAAGCAGCUUCAGCAAUCAGUGCAGCAAGUCGCCAAACACCAAGAACCACAGAUUUGACAUUUUCAGAGAUUUAUGGUGGGGUUUUUAUGAACAAUGUGCUGGGAUUUUCUGUGCUUCUGGCCAUAAUUUAUGUUCGUGAAAUGACAUGGGAAUUCUCUGCAGAAGUGUUAGUGGUUCUGAUAGUCUGCCUUGUGGUAGGUCUCAUUGCAAUCUCUGCUCUCUAUUCUCUCAGUCUCUUGAUUCGGCACCUCGACUCGGCACAUGGCAGCACCUCACACCUCCGCCACCUCUACUGGGCAGCACCUCAUGCCUCCGCCACCUCACCUCACACCUCCACCACCUCGACUUCACAGCACCUCCGCCACCUCGCUUCGAGAACUGGGCAGCACCUCGCCUCUCUCGCCGUCAACCUCGCCUCUCUCAGUCUCUCGAUUCGACACCUCGACUCGGCACUCAGCAGCACCUCGCACCUCCGCCACCUCACCUCACACCUCCACCACCUCGACUUCACAGCACCUUCGCCACCUCGCUUCGAGAACUGGGCAGCACCUCGCCUCUCUCGCAAUCGACUCGGCAGCACCAAGGGCAGCGCCUCGACUCGGCAGCGCCAAGGGCAGCUCCUCGACUCUCCGACGAAGAAGCCAUCGGCUCCGUUCAAGAAGCCUUUCGCCAAGCCUUGUUCGAGACUUGUUCCUCCACAGACAACCUAUCUUUCUUCACUCUCAGUGUGGUGGUCCCUUUUGGCUGCUAUACCUGCAGCGGUUGCAGGAUACGCAUUUGGAGUGAAGACAAGAUGUGAUGAACAACAGAAAUUAAAGAGUGCUAGAGGAAGGGAGAAGAGUUCUGAUGAGAUUUUUGUCUGCGAGAGGGUAUGCACUUCUAAGAGGAUGCUGAAGAAAGUUGGUGCAUUCUCAAAGGACCCAAUUCCUGAUACUUGUGUUACAGUCUGCGGUGUUUCUGAGCUUGAUGCAUGCGCUGAUGCAUGUGCACGGACUAGGACGGCUUGUCGGAGAUGCCGUCGUGCUCCUCCUCGCCCUGGAUUCUUGCCGGAAUGUGGAAGCCGGGGAAUACGCCGGAGGCGAAUCCCAUGCCGGAAAUGGAAGACUGUUGAUGAUGAUGGUUAUGCAUUGACGGCGCCAUCUGAUGUUGAUGGUCCGAAAGGUCGUUGUGGUCUAUCCAGGCAUGAACCGAAGGCGCGUUACUGGACUGAAGGGGUCCCCUCUGUGAUGAAAAGAACUGGUUUUGGCCGAACAAGAACGGCUGCAGCGUCGGCGACUGUGACUGACUCAGCGCUCGUCGAGCUCGUCGAUGGCGGCUUUGGCUUUCUUGAUGAGCCAAUCGACGGCCUUGCUGGGGCGGUCGUAUCCCAACCGGUCCUGGACGUCGUAGAAUUGAAUGGCGGUGUGGGCGGCGAGGCGGACGCGGCGGUCCCUGGGGCCUUUGGCGGUGCAGACCUUGCUGUGGCGGUCUUUCCGGCCGGUGGCUCUUAUAAUGUGGCCCCCGCGAGCCUCCACGAUCUCGCUGGCCGUGGAGGAAGAUGUAGUGGUUCUUAUCCCGAGACCAAGUCGAGCAGCAGCGGAGGAGGACGAGGCGGUGGCGCGGUGGUGGUGGUGGUGAAGGUUGUUGUGGCUCUGCUCCCCCAUUUUUCUUGCUGCAUAUUCGAUGCUUUUAGUGGAACAGUAGUGACAGCAGCACCAGAAGAAGAAGAAGCAGAAGCAGAACUAGUACUAGACCUAUCAGAAACUGUACACAGGUGUCCGUGUGUUGAAUGUCGUAAUACUAAGUGGAAGACGAUUUAUGAAAUCCACGAACACCUGAAUACAAGACGUAUUAUGCGUAGUUAUACUACAUGGAGUCUACAUGGUGAAACAUUAGAUAAUGAACUUACCUUGGAAGAAAUCCGAGUGGGACACUUUCAGCAUGCUGGCUCAUCCAGCAGUAGUUUCGACCCUUAUGUGGAUCCUUCUAUGAACAUUAUACAUGAUGCUUUUACUUCAUUUGCUACAAGACAUGAGGAAGAGGUUGUUUACGAUACCAUUGAUGCAGACCAUGCUUUUUCAAAUGUUGACAAUGAUGAUUACAAUAAGUAUAACAGGUCGCUUGCUAAAGCACAGACCCCAUUAUACCCUGGGUGUAAUGUAAUUGUCUUGGGUGCCAUCAUUGAACAGAUUAAAACCAAAGUUGACAGCAAUUGGUCGAAUGUGUCGUUUAACCGUAACUUGGUGAACAUCAAGAAAUUGCUUCCUCCAGGAAACAACUUUCCCCACAACUUUGAUAAGGUACAAAGUAUGUUGAAAGAUCUUGGCCUCGGUUAUGAGAAUAUCGACACAUGCAAGAAUAACUGCGUUUUGUUUUAUGGAGUCAUCAACAAAGACCUGGAUUACUGUCCAGUGUUGAAGCGUAUGUACAUGUCUUCACACACUUCAGAAAAUAUGAGAUGGCACGGGGUAACGAGGAAAAAUGAUGACACUCUCAGACACCCUGCAGAUGGGGAGGCUUGGAAAUCAUUUGACAGAUCAUUUCCUGAUUUUGCAGCAGACAUUCGAAAUGUAAGACUUGGACUUGCAACAGACGGGUUUAAUCCUACCGGAAACAUGAAUUUGUCUUAUAGAAAAUGUCUUGAUGUGUACAUGAGACCAUUGAUUGACGAGUUAAAAGAAUUAUGGGAAAAUGACGUCCCUACUUUUGACUGGUAUAGUCAAACUUCAUUCAGGAUGAAAGCAACAGUGAUUUGGACCAUUAGUGAUUUUCCUAGAUACGGGAUGUUGUCGUCUCAAACCACUAAAGGUUACAAGGCUUGGCCAAUCUGCUUAGGAGACCUAAAUGCUAGUUGGCACGCUAGAAAGGUGUGUUACUUGGGGAGUCGUACAGGGCUUCCGGAAGAUCAUCUAUGGCGAUUUGAUGCGGCUUCAUUCGAUGAGAAGCAAGAGUUUGGUUUAAAACCCCAAGAGCGGUCUGAUGAGUGGAUUUUAGACAUGUUGAACUCUUUUGAUUUCGGACGUCUUAGCAGUGAUCCUGAUGUGUUAGCUCGAAAUCCAAAACGUCCUUCUAGAUUGGAGAACUGGACGCACAAGAUUUUCGGGUUUAAAGAUAAGACUAAAGACACUGUGAAGGCGCGCAGAGAUCUUCAACUCAUGAACAUACGCCCUCACUUGUGGCUAACAACGUUGGGGUCAAUGCCUCUUGCACAUUACAGGAUUAAUCUGGCUAAUGAGAAGAAAGUUUUCAAAUGGUUUGAAGCUAUUAAAUAUCCUCAUGGUUAUGCAGGAAAUAUAUCUCGAUGUGUAAAAGCGGGGGAGAAUAAACUAUUUGGAUUAAAGACUCAUGACUGUCAUAUCAUGCUACAACGUCUUUUUCCAGUGGUAAUUCGACCAUGUUUGCAUCCUGAUGUGGUAGAGCCGUUAGUAGCGGUGUCUAGAUUCUUUCGGAAGUUAUGUGCUAGAGAGCUAAAGAAGUCAGAUGUCCAUGGAUUAAAAGAGGACAUUGUCUACAUUAUGUGCAAGUUGGAGCGGAUUUUCCCACCUGCUUUCUUCGACAUCAUGAUUCACCUCAUGAUCCACCUACUAGAACAAGCGCUGCUUAUUGGUCCAGUACACUAUACCUGGAUGUUCCCACAAGAAAGUAACACAACCGAGGCGGAGUCAUCCACAAACGUCUUCAAUCUUUCAAUUGUUUCAGAAGUUGUACGUUCAUUUUGUAACUUACCAAAUUCGUACAAGUUAACAAAAGCUGAGCUCCGUGAAGCUCAUUGGUGCGUGUUGGACCACUACUCUGAGGUUGACUACUAUAAAAAGAAACAUUUGGAAUUAAUCAUAGCAAGACAACCAUAUAGAGCUGAAGAGAUGCACAAGAGAUUUUUUCCUAAUUACUUUCUUAAUUGGAUUGAAGAACUCCUACGAGAGAACAGUACUGAUUACUCACAGGAGUUGCACAAUUUGGCAUGUAAGCUGCAACAUCACAGUGUACAUGGGGGGUGUUUUGUUAACGGUGUUAAGUUUGUGACAUUCUACCGGGAUGAAGAGUGGGCCACUCAAAACUAUGGGGUCAUGGUAGAUGGGGAUGAAAUUUGCUACUACGGGAUCAUACUCUCCGUUGUCGAAUUAUUAUAUGGAGCUGGUAUGCCAGUUGUGUUGUUCAAGUGUAAAUGGUUCAACACUGACCCAAGUUUACCGAGGAGUACGAAGAUGGAUCAUGGAUUUUUAUCAGUGAAUACAUCCACAAGCUGGUAUGAGAGUGAGCUGUUUAUUCUUGCCACCAUGGCAAAACAAGUGUUUUAUCUUGAUGAUCCGAAAGAGGGUGGGGAUUGGAAAGUGGUAAAUGUGAUGUCUCACCGAAACAUUUGGAGUGCAUCUACGCUUGAAGGGGAUGCAGAAGGAGCAUGUGAUGAAGAAGAGGCGCCAGAACCAUAUCAAGAAGAGUUAAGCAGUUAUAUUCCAGAUACACAGACUAUUCGCAUCAACAAUGACCCCCACUACGUACACGGGAAUGCGUUCAUUACAAUUCCUGGAUCUCAAGUCCCACAUGUUGACAAUGAGGAGGAUGAAGAUGAGAACGAUGAUGAAGAGACGCAUUAUGAGGAGGAUGAAGAGGAAGAGGAAGACGAAGAGGACGAUGAUACGGAGGAUGAGGAUUAUGAUGUCAAUGACAGAAGAUCGACUGCAAACAAGAGUAACCGGGACAAGAAGACAUUGCAUCACCACACCGGGGAGAGGCCUUUCAUCUACAAUGCGAAGGAAUUGAAGGACAAGGCUAGGGCUAAACUGAUGGAGAAGGUUGAUGAGAUCCGUGACAAUGUGAGGAAGGAAUACCCUGGCAUUCCGAAAGAAGAUAUUGAUCUUCAUUUUGACCAACAAACUCAAGCGAUCUUGUUUGAAAAAGCAUUUGGACAUAGAAACAUGAACGAGAUCCGGGGAAUGGGACUAGUAGGCAGUUAUGGUUUGAGUCAAGGCCCCGAUAGGAGCUGCACUUCACGUUCCCAACGAGCUGCACUUGUUGAUAUUGCUGUAGCUUGUGGAGUUGUUAGUGAGUUUGUUUCUUGUGUUUUUGUGAAGACGCAACGAGAGUAUUUAGUACUUGGCAAUUGCGGCGGUCAAAGACCUGACGAUACCAGCAUUAAUGUUGAAGAGAUCGUCUCGGGUCAUUCCGGGCUUACGUGGCACACCGGCCGGGAUAAUCACGACGUCGCAUCCCUCCAAGGCCUCGCCGAGCUGUUCCUCGCCAGCGUAGCCCUUGACCUAAAAUCACACAGCAAAAUCAGUCAAAAACCGUCGGAUCGGAGCAAAUCAGACACGAAUUCAGAGAGUAAGAAGCAGCAGUACCUCAGAUCUGGUGUUGAUGUGGCUGACGUCGGCGGCGACGCCGGGGGUGCCGGCGAUAUCGUAGAGGGAGAGCUGGGAGACGAGAGGGUUGAGCUUCAUGAGGAGAGCGAGGGGCUGGCCGAUGCCGCCGGCGGCGCCGAGGACGGCGACCUUGCGCUGGGGGGUCCGCCCUCAGGAUACCUACCAGAAGGCAAGCCGCCUGAGCUCGGUGGCAGUCCAUACAAAGAUGACCCAGUACCAGUGCCGCUACCAGCCGCCGCCGCCGCCGCCCUGGUUGCCGGCGGCGGCGAGCUGCGUGACGGUCAUGCGGCCGUCGAUCUUCUUGCUGGGCUCCUUGAGGGCGAGGUAUGCGGCGUCGACGUGCUUGAAGGUGACGAAGCCGUAGCCUUUGGACUUGCCGGUGUUCUUGUCGAGAAUGACGAUGGCCUCCUCGAGCUCGCCGUAGGCGGAGAAGAGGCUGCGGAGGCCCUCGGUGGUGGUGUCCCAACCGAGGCCGCGGAUGAAGAGCUUGCGCUGGGCGGUGUCGGGAUCGGCGAUGGAUCGGACGGCGUCGAGGACGUCGGAGUGGCGGGAGAUGGCGUCGAGGAGGACGUCGAUGAGCUGAUCGGGGCUGAAUCGCUCGAUGAUUUUGCGGGCGUCUUCGCGGUCGAGCUUGGGGACGGAGGAGGGGUCGGUGUCCAGAACGACGCCGUUCUCGUCGAGCUUGCGCUUCUUGAAACAAGGGACUGGUUUACUCACAGGCAGAGUAAUGAGAUCGAAGGAGCUCCGGCCACAAUCCGAAACCAAAGCAUCAGCGAUGAUCUUAACCCCGUGACAAGCCUCAACCCUCAGCUGCUUCUCCACAGAAGCCACGGUGACAUCAGCUCCGGCUCGGCGCAGAACAUCGACGGUGAUCACCGCCUCCAUCGGCUCCGUGCCGUUCGCAAUCGGAACCAGAACCUGCAAAAUUUCCAGAGUCAGUCUCGCACUCUCGCAGACACAAAUCCAGAGAAGAAGAUAGAGCAGAGAAUAAGGAAUGAUACGGAAGAUUCUGAGGAUAAAGAGGAGUUGCAGUUACUAGAGAUGUUUCUCAGCAAAGAAAUUGAGGAUCUGCAUGAUGAUGGCUUUGAGGGAUCCAAAACUGAGCGCUGUAUAUUCACAGAGGUUUUCUUUGGUGGUGACAGUGCUAGAACGAGUAAGAGAUGUCUUGUGACUGGAGUGAUUAACUUUGAAUGUGAGUCAAGUAAGGCCACAGAUACAUCACUCUCUUCAAACAGUGAAAACUCAAUUGUAACGAAUCAGUCAGACUCUAAAAAUACUAGUUUGGAGGAGUUAUAUAAUGCUACUGAAGAAUCUAGAGAAACUCUUGCACCAGGGUUUUCCCCAGAGAGAUCUGCUUGGCUGGAUAGGAAUGGUGAAGAUGCAAGUGCUAAGAGAAUGAAGUUAUCUGUUGAUGAAUUUCCUAGUGCAAAACCUGGUUUAGAAAAGGUUAUAAAUCCAUCCAUAGUUUCAAAAGAAAUGGUUUCUGGUAUGUCUGGUUCUACAGACUCCAUCACCGAAACAGUGACAUUUCGUUUGGUUGAAUCGUCUAGUGAGGGAGUUGCAUCUAGUUGCUAUCUGUUAAAGCAGCCUGCAAAACUUGACAGAGGGACCGUAUUAGGUGACUCUGAUGUUUCAAAGUGCAGAUUGCCAACUUCUGAUGGGAAUGAUGGAAAGGAACUAUGUCCAAGUAAAGCUGUUGCUUCACCUGUGUCCCAGGAGAGCUUUUCAACCAUGCUUUUGGCUACUGGUCCCUCUGUCACUCUAUUGGAUAAGUUGGGAACUCCUCUAGGUGCUGAGGGAAAUCUUGAGGGAUUGGAAUCUCCUGUGAUGGCUAGAUCUGCUAUUUCCUUCAAGAAAGACUCUUGUAAGGAUCCUCGUCCACUUCUCCAGUAUGAUGUCAAUUGCUUACUCGAAGCUGCAGGAUGGCAUAUUCAGAGGCGGAAAAGACGUUGUAGAUCUUAUCUGGAGUCUGUAUAUGUAACACCGAAGGGAAGAUUAAUUCGUGACUUCCCCAAAGCUUGGCGGCUGUGUGGUGAACUUUUGUUUGUAGAUAGAUGCAGUUCGCUGCAGAGAGAUGAUGCAAACGAAUGGGCCGAUAUCAGUCAGUUUUGUUCAGAUCUAUCUGGUGCUUUAGUAAAGUUUGAAAGAGAGAUUAAUCAACAAGAACCUGCUACUAGAUUGGCUUAUUUGUGGAGGCUCUUAGAUCCCUUUGUGAUUGUUGUGUUUAUUCAGAGAAAGAUUCUUGCUCUGAGAAAAGGGGAAACUGUUAAAGCAACUCACAGUUUAGCUUUUAAUACUAAUCGCAAGGUAUUGGCCUUGACUAAUGCGAAUAGUAUGAAAAAUCAUCUGGAGAAGGAAGAUGUUUCCGCUCCACUCUGUGAUACAAGUCAUACAACUCUGGCAGGAGGGAGUGGAUCUGCUAUCUCUGAAGGGAAUGUUAUGGAAGAUGCAUCAAUGGUUUAUUCUGAGGAAGAUCAACUGCUGGGAGGCAAGGCUUGUGUUAAGCUGGGAGGUAAUCUGCAGGGGUCAAUGGAGUGCCAACAAAAAUGUGCAAGUAAUGUUGUUUCGAAAAAGAAAACACGAAGGAAGUGUAGAAAGAUAUCUGAAAUGGAACCAAGCUCCAAUUCUAGAAAUAAUAUUGGUUUGCAAUGCAUUGAUGUCAGUGGUAACCAGUCAAAGUUGAAAGAGGUUGAGGGUGACCUUGCAGGAAAUAAAAGAAGUAAGGAAAGUUGCAUGAAGUCCUCACCUCUCAACUCCUCCCAGCAUGUAGUUGGUGAAAAAAGUCCCAAGUUUGUGAAAAAUUGUCGUGAAUAUGAUGAUGUUAAAUCUGGAAAGAAGAAACCAUCUAGAUGUGAAAUCAAAGAUGAUGACUUACUGGUUUCAGCUAUCAUUAAAAACACAGAUUUUACUGCAAGUCCUGGUCGAUGUUCUUCUAGAAAGAAAGGCCGCAAAUCUAGAGCUCAUAGGAAGCUUAAAAGUCAAAAGAGCCAUUGCAAGUUGCUUCUUAGAAGCCUGGGUAGUGUAGGAGUGAAAACGGUCCUGUCUUGGAUGCUUGAUGCUGGGGUCAUAUUUCUGGAUGAUGUAAUCCAGUAUCGGAAUACUAAAGAUGGUUCUGUUAUUAAAGAUGGUCUAGUUACCAGAGAUGGUAUUUUUUGCAAGUGUUGCAGUGAAGUACUUACAGUUUCUGAGUUCAAGAUCCAUAGUGGGUUCAGACUAAAUCGUCCAUGUUUAAAUCUUUUUCUGGAAUCUGGUAAGGCCUUCUCCUUAUGCCAGCUUCAAGCCUGGUCAGCCGAAUACAAGUCCAGGAAACGGCGCACUCAAGUGGUGCGAGCUGAUGACAAUGACGAAAAUGAUGAUUCUUGUGGACUUUGUGGUGAAGGGGGCGAGCUGAUAUGCUGUGAUAACUGCCCCUCUACUUUUCAUCAGGCUUGUUUGUCUCUGCAGGUGUGGAGGAGCUUCCUGAAGGCAGCUGGUAUUGCCCAAAUUGCACCUGUUGGAUAUGUGGUCAUUUUGUCACCAACAAAAAGGCUUCAAGUACUUCUGAUGGAUUUAAAUGUUCACAGUGUGAGCAUAAAUAUCAUGAGGCAUGUCAGAAAGGAAAAUCCAUACACGUACUGGAUUCUUGGUUCUGUGAUAGAAGUUGUCAAGAGGAUUCGUCAUCUUGGCAGGAAUUCCUUUAAAAUUGGGAACCCACUGGCGUUACUCAAGUUCAUUUAUGUUUACUCAGGUCUUCAGUCUCAUGUUGGCUACAUUAGUCAUGUUGUUGAUGGCUUUUCAUGGACACUUCUUAGAUGCAUCCAUGAUGACCAAAAGGUUCAUUCUGCCCAACGGUUAGCACUGAAAGCAGAAUGCAAUACAAGAUUAGCUGUUGCUCUUACUGUCAUGGAAGAAAGCUUUCUGUCUAUGGUAGAUCCUAGAACAGGCAUAGACAUGAUACCCCAAGUUUUGUACAGUUGGGGGUCAGAGUUUGCUCGUUUGAAUUUUCAAGGCUUCUACACUGCAGUCUUGGAGAAAGAUGAUGUGCUGAUAUCUGUAGCAUCCAUCAGGGUUCAUGGAACAACAGUUGCAGAGAUGCCGCUAAUUGCAACUUGUAGUCGAUACCGUCGCCAGGGAAUGUGCCGACGCCUUCUGACUGCUAUUGAAGAGAUGCUCAUAUCUUAUAAGGUGGAAAAGCUUGUAAUAGCUGCCAUUCCAGAUUUGGUGGGGACAUGGACAGGGGGUUUUGGGUUUAUACCUGUGGAAGAUGGAGAAAAGCAAAGCUUGAACAAGAUCAAUUUGAUGGUUUUUCCUGGAACAGUUUUACUCAAGAAGCCAUUAUGUGAAAAUAAAACAGCAUAUAGACAUCCUGGAACAUGUGAUACAUCAUCCUUGGAAAUGGAAGGAUCAAGAAAAGAACGUCCCAUGGUUGAGUUUGUGCACUCUGAUGAUAUUUCUUGUGGAAACAAAACUGGGGCUGAAGCAGGAAUUGAAUUUGUAGAAGGUACUAAUUUACAAGAAGCUGCUGAUGGUAGUAAAUUAUUUAUAACUGAUGACACUGGGAAAUCAGAAGAAGGAAAGAACCAAUCAACUAAAGUAGGUAUUCAAUCCAGAGAGACCAUUGUUGGGUUUGUACAGCAACAUGUUGUCCAGUGUUCUGCUAGUAGAAAUGAUGCUGGAAUGGAAAUGAAAAGCAAGAAGUCGCUGAAAUCUAAAUCUUAUGUGGAAAUUGGUAUUGAGGCUGUAAAACAAUUGGAUGGAAUAUGUCAUGCUGACAUAGUUGCUAAUGCUGUUAGACUUGAAGUAGAGAAUCUCCAGGGAUUUGAACCUGUACAGGAGUCGGAAAUCUGUUGCCAGAUUGCAGUAGGCAAUGAGUCAGACUCUAGACAGAUGACUGGCAAGGAUUUGCUGGAAUCUGAAGUUGGCAAUGAAACAGAAGAUAGAGUUUCUGACAGCAAUAAUGUGCAAGCAGGCGAAGCCAAAGUAUGUCAUUUGCAUGAGCAAUUUUCAAAGCUGUCUUUUGAAGAACCAGCUUCAGCAGUAGAAAAUAGGCAGCUGGAAAAAGCUACUAAUGUUGAAUCCUUAGAAAUCAUGAAUGCCGAGGCGAGGAGGAAUCGGGCGGUGAGGUUAGUGGAGGCAGUGGAGGAGUUCAAGGAGGACUUCGGCGAGGCGGCAAACUACACCUUCCCCGUCGCCGGUGACAAGAACUCCGAGGACGACUUCGAUGCGCUGACGACGACAAAGGGCGACGGAGCUAGCGCAGCCGCUCGUGGAGGUCGGAAUCGAGUUCAAGAUCCACAUCAGGAAGGAUCGGGACAUGAAGGAAAGGCUGUGCUUAGAGGUGGAGCGGCUAGGGCUCAGUUCCGUCAUUAUGGGCAGCCGAGGGUUCAGCGCCGUCAUUUCCUUCAAGAGGAGCGUCGUCGCCGCCUUCAAGAGGAACCUCAAGCUACAUGGCAACUCCGUCGAACAUGGCAUGACUGGCUAGCUGUAUGUUGUGAAGAUGCAGCGGCUAAUGAUGCAGAGCCACAACUUCAACUAGUGCCUUUGCCUUUUAAGAUUCAUAUGGAGCGAAAGGUUGGAGUAAGUGAAAAAGAACCAAAGAAGAACUUAGCUAUCAUGGCUGGUCAGAAAACAACGAAUUCCUUUCUUGUGGAGUUUCUAAGAGGCUGUUUUCGGAAUCGGCGUGAUGCAGAAUGGGGGAUUCUAGAUGAGAAGAAGGAUCGAGCAUUUGAACUUGGAUAUAAGCUCUCUUCCCUGCUGGCUCGAUUCUUGUUCUUGGUGUCUUUGAAGGAACCGGAGGAGGUGAUCAGAAGGUUGGUGAAGUUUGGUGCUUCGUUGAAAGUUUUGGUUGCAGAUGACCAGAAUAGUGUGAUAGUCGAAAAGGUUACCACUGUAUUGAAGAUGACAUAUAAGGAGCUGAGAGACAGGAAUAUUACUGAACCAGACAAGGUGAAAGAUCAAAGGGUAUUGGAUGAUGAAUUCAAGCUCCUUACAGAAUUCUAUGGAGUUGACAAGGUCCUCGAUCGAUUCAUGACAGAACUUCUUAGUUUGAAUGCUGUUCUGAGUUCUCCAAAUGUAAGCGUACCCCUUUGUUUAGUGGAGCCUGGUCUGAACCAUUGCGAGAAAAAACUCAUAGGGCUACAAGUGGUGGUUGAGACACUGGAGGUAUAUGCGAAUUGUACCCAGGAAUCAGAGAACAUUAGUGCAAUUGUGCAACAGAAGAUCCAGAUUUUGUGGAGUGAAGAGCUACAAGUUUGCAGUCCUGAAUUUGUAUCGCUCGAGAUUGAAGAGGAAUGGAGUAGCUUGAUGGAUUAUGACAAGAAAUUGGAAAGAAACGGACCUGAAGAGAAUAACCUUAAGAGGUUUGGCCCUACUGAGCGUAAGCUCACCCCUAUAGAAUUUUGUUCAGUCAUCCUCAUGGCCUCUGCGCACCCAAACAUUGAUCUCUCACCCUCUUUGAAAGGAUCGAAGAAUGAGAUUUCCUCUCCAGCGUCAUCUUUUGGCAAAAACCCUAGCAUAGCCAAUAUGCUAGCAUCCUCAUCCUCUUUGGGUUUUCAAAACCCUAGUCAAGCAUAUGCGGCCUCCUUGGCCUUGGCUAACUCGAAGGCUGUCAAUCUCUCAGAUCAUGUCUUUGCUCCUCCCAAGAAGAAGAUGCAAGAGGAAGAGAAACCUCCCACCAUCUCCCUUGAACCAGUUGAAGGCCAAAAGAAGAAGUGUGGGCGUCCCAUCGGCUCCAAAAACACGAAGCCAAAAAGAAGUGCUAAUUACGAAGAUCGGACUUCUACCAUGACUUUGCCUGCAGCGCCCCCGAGCCCUAGCUGGAAGGGCAAGGAGCCCCAUAACAGCGCGGCUUGUCAAUCUCUCACCCAAGAAGUUCUCGCUCGGUUUGGCACACCCGACCAUAGCGGAACCAUAAUGACAGGUUCACGACCAACCCAGGACGCAGGACCUACUCUGCCAGCGGACGAAGUCCGCCAGAUGUUUGGGGAACUGAAGAAUAAUCUCGACUCACUCAGCUCGAAAGUCGACACCACCCAGCAAAGUGUCAAAGACCUCUCUGAACAGGUCACUAAGGACAGAACUAUCUGGCUCGCUAACCAAGAAAACCUUUCUAGGCUCAGCGAGGAGUUUAAUUACGUUGCUGGUCAAGUCAGGGAGGACAAAGACUUGGUGGAAGGUUCCCUUCAAAGGAUCCAGAAAGAAUUGGAUCAGACCAAGGUGACUUUCACCAAAACCCUGCAGCUUACCCGCGCAACCGUGGGUGAGCAGACCCGUUGCUUGGACGAACACGACACCAAGCUACAGCAACAGCAGGACACUUCUUUCUUUGGAAGCAGGAACAGCAUGGAAAAGCUUGAGGACUACAAAGAGCGACAUGAUAAUCUGAGCAUAAGGGUCCUGCAAGUGGAAGACUGGAUACGGGCUCAGACACCAAAAAAUCAUGCCUUGAACUUAGCUAGUUCAAGUGCAACUGAGGGCUCAAGGUACAUUCCACCUAAUGAACGCCCUAGAGGAAAUCCGAAGGUCGGGGCCCAGAAGACUCCCCAAUUCACAUUGGGGGCCAGUUCGUCAAAGACGCCACCCCUUCUACCCACGCCAGGCUGCCCUGGAGUCACACUCAGGGGCGCCGGUGUCUUCCCAUCUGAAGGGAUCGGGACACCAGAUGACCCAGUUAUAGCUUAUUUCAGUUCGACCCCUAAGAACAUCGUGCAGGUCCCUAGCCUCUCUGCGUGGCAUGGCCACGAUCAGGGGGCAGAGUCCACACCAGUAACGGCAGCCGAUUGGCGCCAGCUCAUCUCGAACAUAGUCAAGGAGCAAACCGGAAAAGGUGAUACUAGCUUGCAUUAUCGUGACCCCUAUCCAGAUAGCGUGGCACAAUAUCUUUUCCCUCAUGGAUUUAAGAAUAUUUUUUUCACCACUUUCUCCGGAGAGACAAGGAAAGACGCAGCAACACAUAUGGCUCGUUUCAAAGUCCAAUGCGGCCAAUACGGGAAUGAUGAUAUGCUCAAAGUCAAGCUUUUUGGGACGUCUCUAUCCGGAGUUGCUUUUACCUGGUAUUCCAGAUUGAAGCCUGGGUCAAUAGCUGACUGGCCCACUAUGGAGAGGCUUUUCCGAGAGACAUACGGCACAAUUGAACCUGAAGUCGGCCUCGAUUCCCUCACACAGAUGAGCCAGCAAAGCAUGGAGUCUGGAGUUUCCUUCCUCCAGCGUUUCAAGAUCCAGCAAACCAAAUGUGAUUACCUGUUACCUGAGCAGGAAGCCGUUAAGUUGGCUAUCAGAGGCCUGGAGCACCGCCAGCGGUUAAAGCAUCACGAAGAGCGCUUUACUUCCAUGGGCGACCUGAUUAACAAGGUCGGUAGCUACGAGCUAAUCCUAAACGAGUUGGAUGACAAAGCAAAUGCCUCCAAAGGAACUUACAUACCAGGGAAGAAUCGGACAGUGGGGACAUUAAGCCUGCAGGCCCCUACUUAUGAUUCCUAUUAUCAAAGGUCUGAGGAAACUCGCCCGGAUCAGGAACAUGAAGAUAUUGGCACGGUAGAACUGACUGGCAAGCCAUUGGCUCACAAAUUGAAAAACCUGAAGAUAACGCGCGAGCCAAUCACCAUCCAGUCCUUUGCAUGGACCAAGGCAGAGUACGAGUCAUACACCUAUGAUGCUAAGAACGCCCAUCUGGUCUUUAAUGACCUCAUCGAGGCAAGAUACGUGCGCUUGGAUCACAAGAUACAGGCGGUACCUUCAUCCCCUACCACAAGUGAGAUGGACAUGUCAGACUCCAGCGAUGAACGUCACAACGACGAGGCCUCGAGCCCUCGUAAAGGCGUCCUAACCGACCCCUAUAUUCCCCCGACAUCCAAAUCAGCGAUCAAGGAUGGGGUCUGGUACACACAGCAAGGGGGCAAGGCAGUUACCAUCAGCAGGUCUAAGAAGCGAAAGCUCCAAAAGCGAUACGGUAGUAUCCUACGUACCUUACGGGUUGUCGAAGAGGGCGCUUUGAGCGACGAGCCUGCACCCAAAGCAAACGUCUUUUGCCGACUCACGGUUCCACCAAAGCAGGAUCCACAAACUUCCAGGCGCAGGCCAUCACCAGAACCUGAAAGAAGAAGGGAUCCACAACCUUCCAGGCGCAGGCCAUCACUAGAACCUGAAAGAAGAAGGGAUCCACAACUUGCUAGACCCAAACCGUCACCAGAGCCUGAAAAGAGAAGGGAUCAACAAGCUCCCAGGCACAGGCCGUCAAUAGAGCCCGAGCAGAGAAGGGCUCCGCCUACCGGUCCUAGGCCCCUCACGGCAACGGAACGUCAAAAUCCGGAGGCCAAUAUCAGAAGGGAGCCACCACCACCACAGCAGCCUCGGGCACGGUCUACCCCGGAGCCCGAGACUCGGAUGGUUCCCAGAGUAUCCGCCCUACAACGGUUGAAAAAAGAAGACAACGAUAAGGCUCCUCUGGCAACAGACAAACAACCGGCCAAGGACCAUCAGCCUUCAACCAAGUCAGUAUGGCGUCCGCGGCAACCCGAGGCUCAAGAGCCACCAAUAGCCGCACAGGCGCCCUCCAGUCCUAACCUCGCCCAACAAAUGGCCCAGCGUUUCCGCGAGAAUUCAGAAGACGACGAGGCACAUUCAGAACCUCGACUUGACCUAGAGGAAGACCGGGACGAAGAGCAGGCAGAAUCAUUCACCUGUAAUAUGAUAGAGGUCUCAGGAUGGGAUGCUGAUGAAGGGCUUAGCAGCGAAGCAGACGCUUUCGCGAUGCUCGAAGGGGAACACGGGAUCAUUGACACUCCUCUGGUCCCAGUUCCUGAACAAUUCUCCUUUCAAGUCGGGAUGGUGUUCUUCAUUUCGGAAAGAUACGCUCUCCCACCAAACACAACCUGCAGUGCGGCGGAUAUUCCCGUCAGCAGCGAGGAUGUCGGGCCGGCAUCACGGGUUUACACCUUUUUCGUCGCCGAAUGCGCUUCUUCUUACAGCAUGAUUCUUGGCCGAGAUUGGAUUCACAGAAGUUUUUGCGUGCCUUCCUCCAUGCACCAAGAACUCAUGAUUUGGGACGCCGAGAACCGUGAAGCAGUCAUCAUCAAAGCCGACCCGCGGCCAUUCUCUAUCUCCGCCAACUUCAACGAUGCCCGAUAUUAUAUUACAGACUUGGGUCCGUUGGAUGUUCAAGGCGUCGAUAACAAAGGACGCCCAUAUGGAAUAACGGCCUCCAAUCUAACGCGAUGGGGACUUACCCAGGCGAAGGACGAUUUGCAACGUCCUCACACCAUCGCGAAACGUGAAGCCUACGACAAGGUCGCGACUAUGGAAUAUGUAGAUGAAGUGGUGGAUUAUUCCGAUACCAAGGAGGAAGUUAUUCAUUUAGCUCCCGCCGCCUUGGACGACACACCACCUCAAGUCCGCGACCCCAUUUCACAAGUUGACGUAGGGACUGCAGAAAAGCUCUUACUUAUUUCUAUCAGUGCCAAGUUGGCGGAGGACGAAAAUGAAACCCUUCUUGCCCUGUUAUGCGAGUACAGGGAUUGCUUCACCGACAAAUACGAAGACAUGCCCGGCUUGUCCCCGGACUUGGUCUGCCACCGGUUACCAACUUAUCCCGACCGACGUCCAGUACGGCAGGACGGCCGAUUCUUGCGAACUGAGACUCAGAUCGUAGUCAAGGAAGAGAUUGAAAGCAUGCACCGAUCGAGCAUCAUUCGCGUGGCAAAGUAUAACGAGUGGCUGUCCAAUGUUGUCCCCGUCCGCAAGAAAAAUGGCAAGAUUCGCGUCUGUGUUAAUUACCGCGACCUAAACAACGCAACACCGAAGGAUAUAUACCCCAUGCCUGUGGCUGACCUACUCAUUGAUGCCGCCGCGGGGCACGAGGUGUUAUCAUUUAUGGAUGGAACGGCCGGAUACCAUCAGAUUCCCGUCGCUGUGGAAGAUCGACACAAGACCGCUUUCCGCUGCCCUGGUUUUGCCGGCGCGUUCGAGUACGUUGUCAUGCCUUUCGGACUUAAAAACACGGGGGCAACGUACCAACGCGCCAUGAACCUCAUCUUUCAUGACAUCUUGGGGAAGUUGAUCGAAGUAUACAUCGACGAUGUGGCCGGCGAUUUCCUUGGUUUCCUAGUGCAUCAAAGAAGCAUCGAAAUCCCAAAGGACAAGGCACAGGCGGUAAUCACCGCUUCACCCCCAAAGACGAAGAAGGAGCUUCAACAGCUGCUUGGGCGAAUCAACUUUCUCCGCCGUUUCAUAUCCAACGCGGCAGGGAAGGUCCAGCCUUUUUCACCCCUCCUCAAGCUCCAGGGGGCAACCAAGUUCGUCUGGGAACCACAACAUCAACAGGCCUUCGAUCGAAUCAAGGACUACCUUACGAACCCACCAGUCCUGAUCCCACCUCGCGAUGGUACCCCGCUUAAACUUUAUAUCGCCGCUGCAGACUUGUCCAUCGGCGGACUCCUGGCCCAAGACGAUGUGAACGGGGUAGAACACGCUGUCUAUUACCUUAGCAGGGUGUUAACUGAGUGUGAGGCACGAUACUCACCUAUGGAGAAGUUGUGUCUUACCCUAUAUUUUGCAGGGUGCAAGCUGCGCCAUUACAUGCUUGCCUUUACCACGGUUGUGAUCGCUCAAUCCGACCUGGUCAAAUACAUGCUCUCCCGCCCUGUCUUGCGGGGACGCAUCGGCAAGUGGAUCUUAGCCAUGUCCGAAUUCUCGUUGCAAUAUGUUCCGCAAAAGGCAGUAAAAGGACAAGCAAUAGCAGACUUUCUCGCUCAUCACCCACCCUCAGAGCUCACGGCGUUUCGCGAGUUGGAAUUCGCUCCUGUGGCACUCGCUCCAUGGACCCUGUACUUUGAUGGUUCACGGACUGAUACCGCAGCCGGAGCUGGGAUAGCCAUAGCCAAUCCCGCUGGAGAUCGCUUCUCCUACUCGUUCCAGCUCGAUUUCAAAUGUACCAACAACCAGGCUGAGUACGAGGCGCUGAUCAUCGGACUAGAGAUUUUGUUGGAUUUAGGAGUCCGCGAGGUUCAGAUCUUUGGCGAUUCUUUGUUAGUCGUUAACCAGCUGGUGGAAAAGUUCAAAUGCUUAAGCUCGUCCAUUGAACCAUACCUGCGCAAGGCAUUUGAGGUAUUGGAUCGAUUCGACGACGUCUACAUCGAGCACAUACCACGUGAGUUCAACUUCGCCGCCAACGAACUCGCCCAGAUAGCAUCCGGCCUCAGCCUGCGCGACAGCGUGCGCGAACGUUUGCUCAAAGUCGAACGCCGUACGCUUCCCUCUUUCAUCGCUAGGGGGCAAUUUCAGGCCGACACCCCUGACGUUGCGACCUUGGACCCUAUCGACGAGGAUUGGCGGCUACCAUUUAUCGCCUACCUCCAGAACCCCAACGACGCCGCUCAUUCCAGGCAAAUACGUUUCCUCGCCUUAAACUUUGUUUUACGCAAUGGCGAACUCCGGCAGCGUGGGGAAGACGGAAACGAUUUCCGCUGCGUGUAUGGGAACGAAGCUAAACGUAUCAUGCGCGAGGUCCAUUGUGGGGUUUACGGCUCGCACCAGGCCGGGCCAAAAAUGCGAUGGUUGAUCCGUCGCCAUGGGUACUACUGGCCAACCAUUCUGAAAGACUUUAUUGCCUUCGCCAGAGGUUGCCAAGACUGCCAGGCUCACGGACCAGUGCAACACAUUCCCAACAUCCCGUUACAGCCUAUCAUUAAACCUUGGCCGGGUCGCGGUUGGGCGAUAAAUUUCGUUGGCAUCAUUCAUCCCCAUUCUUCUGAGCAGCAUAAAGUGCAUCGUUACGGACAUGGGGCAGCUUUCAUGGCUGAUUCAGUUGUUAAGUACUUAAACGACUACGGAAUCAAGCUUCUCCACUCUACGCCAUAUUAUGCACAGUCCAACGGCCAGGCGGAGGCUAGUAAUAAGGUCAUCCUUGGCAUCCUCCGCAAGAUGUUGGAGUUGAACCCGCGUGUCUGGCAUGAGGAACUCUACCACACCUUGUGGGCUUACCGCACUUCGAAGCGCGGCCCGACGGAUACCACCCCGUACGCUCUCAUGUACGGUCAUGAUGCCGUCCUUCCCUUUGAGAUCAAUAUCGCUUCACUCUGCGUUCAAGAACAGCAUCAACUACUUGACGAGGAUUACGUCCAAGCCAUGUGGCAGGAGCUUGAAGAUCUUGACGAGCACCGCGUCACCGCUUUCAACAAUCUCGUCCUCGAGAAACAACGCAUCGCACGUUCGUAUGAUAAGGUCACGCGCGGACGCAGUUAUGCUGAGGGCCAGAAGGUGUGGCGCGCGGUACUCCCACUUGGGGAAAAAACCGAUGGUCGGGGCAAGUGGUCUGCUCGAUGGGAAGGCCCCUUUAUUAUUCAUUGUAUACUUCUCAAGGGGGCAUACCACCUGCGCGACUUGGACGGUCCCAUUCAUCGCAAUCCUAUUAAUGGCCGCUUCCUCAAGCGCCACAUUGCAGGAGUUUGGGAACGCGAGGAUCCUCCACCUCCCCCAGGCCCCGUCGCCACUGUCAAUAGUGCUAUGCGCCUUCGCCCGGCUGACGAGCUUGUUCACUCCCCCUGCCUUAAGCGACUGGCCAACCAACAAAGUGUCUGUCGGGUAGUCGAAGCUUUGCCAAACGAAAACGCCCUUGGAGUUGUAGAGGACCAAGUUUCCGGUUGGAAGCAACUUGAGGCCGACGACACCCUUAUUGGCCGUGUUGGUUUGCCAUGCAACGCGGCCGUCGGCGUCGGCCAAGACGAGGUUUCCGUUGGUCCCGAAGGUGAGGGUGGCAUUUUCGCCAACGGGGUUUCCUCGGUUGGCCUCCCAAACCCAACGGAAGAGGGACUCCGAGCGGGUCAGGCCCAUCCGGAGAGCCAAAGUGAAGGCAUUCGGGGUGGUGUUGUAGAAGGCAAAUUGGAAAGGAGAAGCAAAGAUGCUAAGCAUACGGUAGCUUCCGUCGUAUUCUACAAUGUAAGGGCCAAACUCUUGGUCAUUGACAAACUUGAAAGUUUCGUUUGCCGGGACUUGAGCCUGAGCAAGAAAAGCAAAGAUUUGGAGAACUUCAGCUCGAGCUUACAUCAGAAAAAGCUACCAUUUGGGGCUAUCAUCAGGAUCCUUUCAUGGCAACUAGCCCAAGGCGUCCAAAAUAUGCCAGAGAACUCAUUGCAGUACGCAAAUGACAAUGCUCUGCUGCUGGCUAAGGUGCUUCAAGAUAAUCAGCAAAUCAAAAUGGACCCUUCCCUCAGUAAAACCCUAAACCCUUCCCUCUCUCUCCUCGCCCCAUUUCCGAACCCUCUCCGCCAAACCCUUACCUUCAAGCCUCUCAACCCCCAUAAACACUUCUCCAUCAGAGCCGUCUCCCAAUUCCCCCAAAUUUCCGGCCCCAAUUUCACAUUUUCCCGCCAAAUUCCGAGGGACCUGCGCGCGUUCGCCGGCCGGAGCAAGAAGAAGGCCGGAGGAGGUCAAGGAGGCUCCACCGGAGACGGCCGAAUCGAUGCGAACUCCGAGUUUCGCAAGGCGGCGAAGAGAAACGCUCGCCGGAAAACCAAGAAGCUCGCCGAGUCGAUGUUCUACCGGCUCAAGAACCCUCACCGGAACUACCCGGACAACUUCACGCAGGACGAGCUGCAGCAAAUAGGGCUCGGGUACGACCGCAUGGUCCGGUUCAUGGAGAAAGACGACCCGAAUUUGCGCCACCCGAACGAUUGGUACAAGUACGGCGAGUUCGGGCCCUACUCGUGGAAAGGAGUCGUCGUCGGCGACCCGGUUCGGGGGCGGUUCACUGACGAAAGAGUGACGAUAAUGAGUUCAGUUAGGGAUGAGGAAGAGUGGGAUAAGAUAGAGCAAUUUGAGAUGAGUCAAGAUUUUGGGAAGAGACUGACUCAAUUGGAUAAGAAGAUUGGGCAUAGGUACUAUUGGGUGUUUGUGAGGCACCCGAAAUGGAGGGUUUCGGAACUGCCGUGGGAGCAGUGGACUUUGGUUAGUGAGCUGGUGGUGGAAGCUGAGAAGAACAAGAGGUUGGAUAAGUGGAGCUUGAUGGGUAGGCUUGGGAAUUUGACUAGGUCUUUGAUAACUAAAUGUGCAGCGUGGAUGAGGCCGGAUAUUUUGUAUGUCAAGAGGCCGGUGUUUCAGUGCCGGUUUGAGCCUCAGGAUGAUUUCUUCAAUGCUUUGGUGCCGUUUUUGGAUCCAAAGACGGAGCAGGAUUACAUGUUUCAGUUGGAGAGAGAGGAUGGGAGUGGUGAGAUGUGUACUUAUUAUGGGGGGUUGUGUAAGAUUGUGAAGGUGAAUCAGAAGGCGUAUGUGGAUGAUGUGGUUAAGGCUUAUGAGAAGUUGAGUGAUCAGGAGAAGUCUAGGUGUUUGGGGUUUUUGCUGGAGAAUCAUCCUGUUAAGUUGUUGCAUCCGUAUACGAAAGAGUGGAAGGCUAAGUUGGAGGAGUGGGAGUUGGGUUGUGAUGCUCCGGAUAGUGAUGAUGCUGACCUCCCUAUCAAUGCGGCAGAGAAGGAGUUUACGGAUUGGGUUGAGGUUGAUGAUGAGGAUGGCAUUGGGGGUGAGGAUGAGGAUGAGGAUGACAGUGACGGUGACAGUGGUGAGGAAAGUGAUGUUGUUAUAGAUAUGGAAAAGGGUGAAGAUGAUAUCUUGGGUGUCCAGGACGAGGAUUUGAGUGAAGAAGAGGAUGAGAAGUAUUGGGAGGAUGAGUUUAGAAAGGCCGCGACUAGUGCUGAAGCAAUGGAAAAGCUAGCAAAACGGAGUGUAGAGAUAACUGAUAAGUUUUACAAUAAACAGUUGAGGGGAAUGGAAGGAAAUAAAAGUGGGAACUCGGUAGAUGAUGGUGAUGAAACUGCCAUGAGGGGAAGAAGACCGAAAAUAAGUGAAGAAGAAUGGAAGCUUGCUGGGUAUGGUCCAUGGAAGAAAAGAAUUAAGAAGAGUAGAAUUCCUCCACAGUUGUUCUUGCGAGCAGCAGUUAACUUCUAUACUUACAGAAACCUUGUGAAGGAGAUUAAACCCUCAAUGUCGUCUUCUUCUCCGACCCAUGUGGAAGCCCAGUACGCCAAGUCCGGCAAUUCGUCGUGCAAGAAGUGCUCGGAGCCGAUUGAGAACCAAGCUCUGAGGCUGGGCACCAAAGACGCGCGUGGCUAUACUAAGUGGCACCACUUGGGUUGCUUCAGUUUUGGGUCCGAGUCUGUUGCUUCGGUUGACAUGAUUAAAGGGUUUCAGUCUCUCAAGAGUAGUGAUCAGGAAGCUUUAAAGGAUGACCUUGAGAAAUCUAAAGAGGAGGAUUCAAAUGGAAAGAAAAGCAGUCAAAAUCGAAAGGUUCGUGAAGUAAAAGAGGCUGAAGAUGAAAAUGUAGGGGAGAGGGAGUUGAAGAAACCAAAGAAGGGUUCUUCUUCUGCUGUGAUCCAUGUUGAAGCCGAGUACGCCAAGUCCAGCAGGUCCUCAUGCAAGAAGUGCUUGGAGCCGAUCGAGAAACAAGCUCUGAGAUUGGGCACCAAAGACACCCGUGGUUAUACCAUGUGGCACCACUUGGGUUGCUUCUCUUUUGGGUCCGAGUCUGUUGCUUCGGUUGACAAGAUUAAAGGGUUUCAGUCUCUGAAGCAUGGUGAUCAGGAAGCUUUGAAGAAUUUGGCAGAUGAAUUUGAGAAAUCUAAAGAUGAGGAUUCAAAUGGAGAGAAAAGUUCUGAAAAUCAAAAGGUAUCCAACUUGGAAAUAUCCUUUUCAGUGUCUGAUGUGAAGGACAAGUACAAGGAUGCAACUCUUCCGCCUAAAUGGAAGGCAUUUCAGACUAUCAUAUAUCUCGAAAGGGAUGAUGGUCUGCAUGAUUCAAGUAAAAUUGCAGCUUUUGAUUUUGAUGGAUGUCUUGCAAAUACUGAUGUUAGGAGAGUAGGUGCCGAUGCUUGGUCCCUAAUGUAUCCUUCAAUACCUGAUAAGCUACGGAGCUUGUACAAGGAUGGCUACAAGCUGUUGCAUGGGUUUGCAUUGUGUGGAAGUUUGAGGACACUGACUCUUUUCCAUCAUCAGGUGAUCUUCACUAAUGAAGCCAACAUUGAGCGCUGGAAAAAUAAAAGACAAGUAGCUGUGGACUCAAAAAUUGGACGUCUCAACGAUUUUAUCAAGGAAGUGAAUGUCCCAAUUCAGGUUUUCAUAGCCUGUGGGCCGAGUCGAGGAGAAGAUCCCUUUCGGAAACCCAAACCGGGGAUGUGGCAUAUUUUGGAACAACACUUCAACUCUGGCAUUUCCAUCGAUAUGGAUCAAUCUUUUUAUGUUGGUGAUGCUGCUGGAAGAAGCAAUGAUCACAGUGAUGCUGAUCUCAAGUUUGCAGAGGCCAAUGCAAUGGAUCCCUAUCUCGAACAAAGACUCAGAGACGAAGUCAUCUACCUCCACUCUCUCUGGCACCAAGGCCCCCCCAAUCGCCGCAACCCCACUCCCAUCUUCCCCAACCCCACGCCCCGCCCCGCCGCAAUGCCCCACUUCCCCUACCCGAUCGCCGCCGCCGCCCCCAAACGUAAGUCCACAACCCAAUUCGAAACCCCCACCCCCAACAAGAAGCCCUUCCAACCCGACCCGCGUUGGGAAUCCCCGGGUCCGACCCGGCCCGACGACUCCACCUGGCCUCAGAGUUCGCCGCAGCUCAGUUUAGCUCCGGUUUCGGAGGAAGAGAGGCUACGACAGCGCGCGGUGAAGCUUCACGCGCGGGCAUUGGAGGUCUGCGGCGGGUUCUUUGCCGGGUCGGGUAGUGGGUCCGAGAGUGAGGAGGAGGAGGAGGAGGAGGAUGAGGAUGGGGAGAAUGAGGAGUAUAAGCUGCUGUUGAAGGUGUUUGUGGAGGAGAGUGAGUUGAGGAAGUUUUACGAGGGGAAUUGGGAUGAAGGCGAGUUUUAUUGCUUGGUGUGCGGUGGGUUGGGGAAGACGAAGAAGGUUAAAGGUUGUGUGGGGCUUGUUCACCAUGCGAUAUCGAUUAGCAAGACCAAGAAGAAGAGAGCGCACCGGGCUUUCGGGCAGAUUGUGUGUAGGGUUUUAGGGUGGGAUUUCCGCAGGAUGCCUUUUGUUGUGCUCAAAGGGGAAAAGCUUAGUUUUUAUUUGGCAAACCCCGGUGUGGAACAGGCUGUGUUUGAGGUAAAUGCUCGUGAUCGUGAGGGUGUUUCCGGUGGUGUUAAAGACAAUGUGGGAGAUGAAAGGGAUGCUGAUGCUGUGUCGGGUGGAAAGGGUGCAAUUGAUGAGGACGUAAUGAACUCUUUAGACGAUGAUGAUGCAAAUCAAUGCAAAGACAUACUUGAUAAGGGGAUAUCAGAAACAAAGGAAGACAUAGAAGAAGCGGUGGAUACGCGGGGUGAGCCUGAGGUAAAUGCUGACCAGUUGGAUAAUGUACCUGAAAACAAUGUGGCAGCUGAAAAUGAUGCUCCUGCUGAAUCUAGUGAAAAUGAGGCAACCGCUGAUCAUCAGUGCAAUGAUAAAGAACAAAUGAUCUGUCAGAGCUCUUUGAACGAUGAUGGUACGGAUAAAAGCAGAGUAAGCCUUGAUGAGGGAAAUAUAGUAUCAAUAAACGAAGCAACCCGAGAAGAAGCAAACGAAGGAUUGGGUGAGUCUGAGGUGUGUGCUGGUUCUUGUGAUGGUGUUUUUGGUGUUAAAGACAAUGUGGCAGCUGAGAAUGAUGGCAAUGCUGGAUUGGGUGAAAAAGAGGUAUUUGAUGAUCAUCAGAUUAACAGUGAAAAUCAAAUGAUAUGUCAGAACUCUUUGAACACUGAUGAGUCAUCUCAAAACACAGAAACCCUCGAUAAGGUAAUAUCAGAAGUCGAACCAAAGAAAGAAGAUGCACUGGAUACAGGGGUUGAAAUUUCAGAAAAUGCUGAUGACAGUCAUGAUUUAGUUGUUUCCAAAGAAAACUUGGAUAUUGUCAGUAGAUAUGAUGGUGAAAUAGGUUCAAAGGAGGAACCUGGGGCGGCCUUGGUUGAUGGAACACCAAUGGCAUCCAAGUUGCAGGCUGAACCUGAGAAACAUGUGGAUAGUCCCAAUGAUGAUCUGAAUGUCUUUUUGGAGAAUUUAGAACCCCUGUCCAUAUCGUUUAUAAACAUUCUGGUGAUUGCUGCAUUAGCUUGGUACAUGUUGAAUCGAGGAUCUGAGAGUGAUGAUGUUCAUGAAUGCUACACUCUCAGGCUCUCAGCAGAGAUCCAGAUCGACGCCGAUAGCCACAACAAUCUCCCGCCGAUGACUCUCGACCACCCUGAAUCUCAAGAUUCCGAAGAAAUCAAGAUCGAUCAAGAUUCGGUCUCCGAUUGCGAAUCCGAGUCGGUUCCGGAGAAUCUGUUAGGGGCUUUCACUGAGAACGAAAUGAUGAAGAGAGUGGUGGGGAUUGAGCGUGACGCGAUUGUGAAGAGCUUCGUCGCCGGCAUGGGGGAGGCCGGAAAAGAAACCAGAGUUGUGGCUCUGCAUAGGAAUUUGAGCUCUGGACUGACACGGAAGGCGAGGCUCGAUGCGUUUAGGGUUUUCACGGAGGCGGUGGCGAGGAAAUGCGGUGGAAAUCCGAAUAUCAGGUAUGGUUGUUACGGCGGAACGAAGGAUGAGAUUGCUGAGAUUUUGGUUCAUGGAUUUAGCGCGAGGAAUGAGGCGGUUCGUGGUAGGGUUCAUUUGGUUCCGGUGAAAUUCGCGGUGGAUGCGGCGGCGGCGUCUGGUGUUGAUGAGGAUGGGAUGAGGCAUGUGUUGAUUUGUAGGGUUAUAAUGGGGAAGAGUGAGUUGAUGCCUGUGGGAUUUAAUCGGAAUGGGCCGUUUUCGAGUGAGUUUGAUUCGGGUGUGGAUAGUAUGCUGGAUCCUAGGAAGUACAUUGUGUGGAGUGCUUCGAUGAAUUCGCAUAUCUGUCCUGUUUAUGUUGUGAGCUUCAAGGCGCCUGGCUGCUUGAACAAGUAUGCAGCUCCUCCUCAGAAGGCUGUUAGCUUUGUUGAUCUGUUGCCGGUGCUUGCUAGGUCUUUGGAACCGGAGAAAAUGGCUGUGUUGUACAAAUUGCGAGAUGAUUACUGGGCGAAGAAGAUUAGUUUGGCUGAUCUGCAUAGGAAAGUGAAGAGAGAAGUUGAUAACAAGGUUAUGGAUUCGGCGAUGAAAUUGGUGAAAUCUAGACAGGGAGGUGCUGAUCCUUCUCCUGCUCCUGGGACUGUUAAUUUCUCUGGUUUUAUGAAGGUGCUGUCUAGGUUCUUACCUGCUUCGAAAAUGGAUGUACUUGCCAAAUUGCUCCACGAUUACAGGGAGAAGAGGAUUAGUCUGGCUGAGCUGAAUCGGGAAGUGAGACUUGUAGUUGAUAACAAGGUUAUGGCUGCUGCAAUCAAGUUGACGAAACCUAACCGAUGUGCUCUUUUGGAGGCGGCGCUGGAAAGGUUAUUGCCUCCUUCACAGUGGAAAAUACUUGCCGGAUUAAUCAAGGAUUUCAAUGCAAAGAAGAUUAGCCGAAGUGAGUUUGGUCAGAAAUUUAAGCUCAUAGUUGAUAACAAGAUGCUGGAUUCAGCUAUUAAAUUGGCGACACAGAGUAGUCAGCAGAGGAGUAUCACUGCUAGUGAUGUUAGAUUAAAGGUGCCAAAUUCUUCAAUCUAUUUUACUGAUCUGAUGCCCUUUCUGGAAAGGUCCCUGUCUCCUCAAAAGAUGGCCCUGCUUACCAAAAGCCUUGAGGAUUUUAAGGCAGAGAAGAUAAGCAGAGCUCAGAUAAGCUGGUACAGUUUCGCAUUGGAGCUCGCUAACUCUGCGGAACUGGGCGGGGGAGAGAUCGCCAAGGUCGCCGGUGCGAAAGCCGCGGAGGAUGUCGAUGAUGUGGGCUUCAAAGUGGAUGGAGGCCUCGGAGUAGACGAGGUGGAAGGCGGUGGUGGGGCGCCAACCGCCGAUCCAGUGGAGGGAGCGCUCGAGGGUGGUGGCCCAUGGGGCGACGAAUACGGAGAGGGCGUCUUGCUCGGCGGCGAGGGACUUGACGUGGUAGUACUCGGCGUAGUGGGACAUGACUUUGUUGAUGACAUGGAGGAAGUGGUGCUGGUGCUCGGUGGUGGUGGGGUGUUUGGGACAGGAGGAGAGCUGCUGCACCAGGCGGUGGAGCUGCUGGAACCACGAGUCGUUGAAGCUAGUGUAGCCGUUCAUGGGCGGCGGUGGGGGCAGCUAACCGCUGCUAAUGACGGGUUUGGAAUUUGGGCCGGCAUUAUCCUGGGGCCAACUCUCUUUAACUCGUUUGCUCCAUACGACAGCAUAAUGACCUUAGAAACUAUAGGAAACCUGGGCCUAGUUUACUACAUCUUUCUGGUGGGAUUAGAACUUGAACUAAAGCCGGUGAUGCGUGCCAGGAAAAAGGCUCUCAGCAUUGCCCUCGUAGGCAUGGCGGUCGCCAUCGCCAGCGGUUGGGGCUUGUUUUUUGUCCUAGACAACAACGUCAAGCCUGAUCUGAAGUUUCUGAAAGCCCCAAAUCAGCAAGACAACACACACUCAGGUCACUUGUUCUGGGCACUCGCCCUCGGCACUACAAGCUUCCCAGACGUGGCUCGAAUCCUUGCAGACCUUAAGCUCCUCAACUCCGAGCUUGGACAACUUGCAUUGUCAUCUGCUGUCAUCUCCGACCUUGGCUCGUGGUACACUAUCCUACGUUGGACCUUUCGUAUUGGGAGCCAUUAUGCCGAGGGGAGAGCUCAGAAAAUUGGUAGUAGAGAAGAUCCAACCCUUUGUGACUGGGAUUCUGAUGCCUCUUUUCUUUUUAAUCAUCGGGCUACGAACCAACAUGUGAUUGCCGGCAGCUUUGUUGCCGCCUUAAUCCACAAAAUGAGACCUCGGGAUGCUCUGGCUCUGGGAGUAGUCAUGAACACCAGAGGCCUAGUGGCACUCUUUAUCCUCAGCACCGGCAGGGACCUAAAGACCUUGGACCAACGAACAUUCCCAGCUAUGAUCUUUGUAGUUUGGGCACUGAUGAUUCCGGUCGGACCCUUCCUAUCCUAUACUUACAACACCACCAAGAAGCAUUUAGGACACUGCAAAAAUAGGAACAUACGAAGCGUAGGAUCUAACACAGAGCUUCGAAUCCUUGCAUGCACCCACGACUCGCGUAACUCACCCGCCAUCAUCAAUCUUCUCGAAGCUUCCAAUCCGACCAGACAGUCCCCAAUUCAAGUCUUUGCUGUCCAGCUUGUUGAAAUGACCGGCCACACUUCCGCUAUGCUCAUUGUCCAUGAUGCUUGCAAGAGCAAAAAUGAAGGGAGCACGCACGAGACCAGACAAAUAUUUUCAUCCUCGCACUCCAAUCCCUUUGAACUCUACGCAAAGCAAAGAGAUAAUGUUAAUGUCCAGCCACUCACCAUCGUCUCAGCCUACGCCACAAUGCAUGAAGACAUAUGCAACUUUGCGGAGGACAGGUGCAUUACCCUUGUGAUUGUCCCGUUACAUCAACAAUCUACCCUAGAUGGCACUAUGGAGGAAUCCAAUCCUGCGCUCAGGGCAGUCAAUAGAAAUGUCAUUGACAAUGCACCAUGCUCAGUGGGUGUUUUUGUAGACCGGGGACUUGGUAUAUCCCAGAUCUUCAAGUCCAACAUCGGCAGCCACAUUAGCUCCGAUGACGGAAGCAACCACCGCUUUGCUGUAUUUUUCAUUGGAGGGGCAGAUGACCGUGAGGCAUUAGCGUAUGCAAAAAGAAUGGCUGGGCAUCCAGGGGUUGACUUGACGGUUAUUCGGUUCAUCUUGAAUACAGAGGCAUGCUUAGAUGAUGCUGACUAUGAAAACGAAAUUUUAGAGGUAAUGGCAAACACUGGGAGGCAAAAACAGCUUGAUAACUUGUACGUGGAUGGUUUUAGGGUCCAUACAAUGCACAAUUCAUCCAUAGAGUUUGUAGAGGAAGUGGUGAAUAGCUGGGAAGAAACUCUCAAAGUCAUAAAGGACAUGGAGGAUCAUUACGAUUUGUACAUAAUGGGAAGACGACAUGGAAGCAUCAGCACGCCAACAGAGACAUCAGUAUUGGACAGCAGCGACUACGAUGAGCUAGGUACUCUAGCAGAAGUAUUCUGCCCCAUGGAGGAGGAACUAAUCCUCAGCUAUCUAUAUCCCAAGGUCAAGGGAGAGGAGGUACCCGGCGAAGAGUAUCUGAUCUUCAAUUCCGAUUUGUACGGUAAAAACGACCCGUGGGAGAUAUGGAACAUGUACAAAGAAAGAAGAAAGAACGACUUGAGGUUCAGCCAAGACCUGUACUUCUUCACUCAACGCAAGAAGAGGACUGUGAAUGGCUCCCGGAAGGGCCGAACCGUCGGAAGUGGCACCUGGAAAGCGGUCUCUUCCGAUGAUGUAAGCGCAGGUGGCACCGUUGUAGGUCACAGGAGCAGAUUUAGCUAUGAGAACAAGGAGUCUGUGGAACAUGGCAGAUGGAUCAUGCUCGAGUACGAACUUGAACGCUCGCAAGACGUACACAAAUAUGUUCUAUGCAAACUUAGGAAAAAUAAGGGAUCCAAAGAGAAAGGGAAACGGGUAGAUGAGGAUGACCAGGAGAAGCUUGCAACCGGAGAUGAUAUGCCCGAUGAUUUUCCAGCGCUGGAGGAAUAUAAGAAUGUGAAACAAGAGGAAUCCGAAAUCAAACAAGGAGUGGAAGAUCAAGGGAUGCAUGCAGAUGGAGACGAUGUCUGCGAUGCUGGUCCGUCAUUAUCUUCUGAACUACAAGAGGCAGAAAAUUGUUGGAAACAAUACCUGAACCCUAUAAUAUUCGUUGAUGAUGACAAUUUGGUACCACCUUAUGCAGAUGCCUUGCAGUGGGAGGAGUCAAAUAUAACAAGGCAAGGCAGACUCGGUGCCUCUGGUGAUAGACUUUCAACUCCUCCUCAUCCUCCAUCUCCAUCUCCAUCAUCUUCUCUUCCACCUCCAGGCACGUGCACGGCAUGUGACCUGCCAGAAAGUUGGAGCACGCCAACCUCGGGUCACGCUUCCUUAUCCGCUGCGUCGGGGUCGGGUCGGGAUUUGGGUUCGGGUCCUCCGGCAGGGGGGAGCGGGUUGGGCGGGUCGUCGGAAGCCUAUGCGAUGGACAAGUCAGCAUAUUUCUCCGCCCUCCGCUUCUGCCACGAGAACGGCGUCACUCACCGAGAAGUGAAGUCGCAGAACCUCCUCCUCGACGGCAACGGCGAACUCAGACUCCGAUUUCGUACACAACGCCAGAGGUUCUGUACCGGGUUGGGUACGAUCUGCCUUCUCAUCCACUCCGCCGAUCCCAACGCCUUCGACGACGUGAUUCUGGUGGCGUUGAUGUGCAAAGAAUCUGGGCCUUUUAUGAUGAAGGCGAUUUUGGCGAGAGUUACGGGUCCUCCGGAGGUUCUAGAAGUUGUUGAGGUGGCCGAACCACAAUUGGAGGACAAUGAAGUUCUCAUAAGGGUGGCGGCCGCCGGGAUGAAUGAGCCGGAUGUGACUGAGAGGCAGCGGUCCUUGCCGCCCCAAGCAAGCCUGUCUAUCCUGGGUCUGGAAUGUUCGGGAACUAUCGAGAAGGUCGGGAAAAAUGUCGAGAGGUGGAAAAUCGGCCAAGAGGUAUGUGCUGUUUUGAGGGGUGGAGGCUAUGGUGAGAAAGUGGCUGUUCCGGAAGGACAUGUUUUCAGAAUCCCAAAGAACAUUUCUCUGGAGGAGGCUGCGAGCUUUCCGCAGGUAGCUUGCAGUGUUUGGGUAUCACUGUUUACCAGGGAUAAACUAAAUAGUGAGUAUUGGCUGCCACUGGUGAAGGAUGGCAGCAGGACUUCUUUAUCUGUUGAAAAAAUUGGUUUGAUGACAAGAAUGUUCUUCAGAGGGUUUUGUUAUGGAAUUACCAAGAUGCGGAAAAAACGUAAAUUGAAACCGCGUGAUCAUAGUGGGAAUAGGCGUCCACAAUUUGCUUGGGAAAUUUUUUUGCUUCCUCAGGGGGCGAUUUUCGGUUAUUCUGCGGUGUUUGUUGUUGAGAAGAAGCUAUACCCUUGGUUUCCUGGGAGUAGGAGUCGGCUAAUUGCUGGGGAAAGUAUUUUGGUUCAUGGGGGAUCCGGGGGAAUUGGUUCAUUUGUGGUUCAGUUGGCUAAAGCCCUGAGAGUCAAUGUGAUUGUCACAGUUUCAAGUUGCAACAAGUUUGAGUUUUGUAGGAGACUUGGAGCUAAUGCAUGCAUUAGUUUCAAUUACAAGGACAAGAAAGAUGGCUUCAGUGAAAGGGUGAGGGAAGAAACAAAUAACAGAGGUGUUGAUGUCGUGUUGAGUAACCUACCUGUUCAAUAUAUUGGGCCGAACAAUGCUUGCGUAAAGGUUGGUGGGACAGUUAUUCAGAUUGGGUUGUGUUGGAUGUUACCAUAUGAUACUAAAAACCAGCUUCCGCAACCGAAAAAAGUAGGUUCUGUGCUUCAGGAAAAUAACAAUGUUGGAGUUGCUGGCUUCAGGUACAGACCUAUAGAAGAAAAAACAAGAAUUGUCAAUGAGGUUGAAAGGAAUGUGUGGCCUCUAAUUGAAAGGCAAGAAGUGAAACCUGUCGUCCAACACCGUUUUCCAUUCUCCAGAGCUUCAGAUGCACACCGACUCAUGGAGAGCGGCAUGCAUCUCGGAAAGAUCCUACUGAUUCCUGAUGAUAGAUUUGACAAUAAUUGGCUUCUGGCAUUAGGAUUGCCCAACUUGCCAAGGAGAAAAAGGUUUGCAGAGGAGAAGAAGGAUCAGAAACAGGGUGCUAGCUGCACAGGAGAGAGGGCCAUGUCAAAAGAAAUAGAAAGACCAACUCAAAUCGAGGGGGCUCUUCCUCAAAACGACGCCGUUACCGGUUCUUCGUACAUCGCCGCCUCCUACGUCAAGUUGGCUGAGUCCGCCGGCACUCGUGUUAUUCCUCUCAUCUACAACGAUGUUCUCUUCCAGGUGAUCACUUCUUCAACUCGCUUUGUAAUUCCUCUGAUGAUUUUAGAGAAGAAUGAUGCUGGUGAUCAUUUUCCAUUAUAUACCAUCUGCUUGGGUUUUGAACUUCUAACAAUGAACAUCAGCAAGGAUUUCCGUCGCUUCUGCUUUUCUGUGCAUUUUGAUUUUGGUGCUGCUUUAACAAAACUAUGGUAUGUCACCAUAGAGGUUGCCAGAGAACCAAGAUCUGUCUUGACAACAGUACAAAUGAAGAUGAUAAGGGAGUUGGAGAAGCUGUGUCGUCAGCCGGAGGAUUUUAGUGACCUGGUUGCAGAGGAUGCUGAGAAGAAGAGAAGCUAUAUCUUGUGCUUUAUAGUCGAUAUAAAGCACGGUUUGUCGGAGAGGAGCGCACAUAUGGAGAAGCCAAUGCAUGGAUCACCAAGCGUGCCUUACCUUCCACUCGAUGUACUCGCCAAAAUACUUGCAGAACUUCCUAUCAAAUCCUUGUUGCGAGUGAGAGUUGUGUGCAAGUCAUGGUGUUCCUUGGUCUCAAGUCAACAAUUCGUCAAAAAGUAUUCAUCAAAAGUUACCACCAGCCCUUCAAGACUAAUCAUGAAUCCGUUCGGCUUGGUUAACGAUUUAACUUUCUGCCAUCUUCAUGAUUCCAUAGUAGUCCGUGAACGUUCAAUCGAUUUGGGGAUCGAAAAAUCCAACUAUUGUGUCAUGGGUUCUUGCGACGGUUUGGUAUGCGUAAAAGAAUGUAGCCAUGGCAUGAUCAUUCUCUGGAAUCCAAGUACGAGAGGCUCCAAAAUAUUACCUUGUAUUUCUGAAGUGGAAGAAGGGAAAGUACGGCGAUGGAAGUAUGGAUUCGGUCAUGACUGCAAUAGUGACGACUACAAGGUGGUUACAUUGAGUGAUCUUAAAGAAAAAGCUCUCAAUCCGAAAGGUUUCUGUAGUUAUAUAACCAUGAUGUACUCAUUAAGAACAGACUCUUGGAAGAGGAUUGGGGAUUCACCAAUUGGUUAUGUGUUUAUCGACGAGUGUGCUGCUUUUGUAAGUGGAGCUCUACAUUGGGUGGCGGAUCGACAACUAAGUGAUACUAGGGUAAUCAUAUCUCUUGAUUUAACAACCGAGACAUACAUAGAAUUGCCACAACCUGAUUAUGAUUCUAUACUCGCGGAAGUGGGGGCUUCAAGAGGAUGCUUAUGCUUGCUUGCUUGCGACAAUGAUGAAUAUUUUGAUAUCUGGGUGAUGAAUGAAUAUGGGGUGCGAGAGUCUUGGACCAAAUCGAUCAAACUCCCUUUUUUGUGGGGAGAUAAAAAUUGUCUUGGCUGCUUAAAACCGCUGACAUGGUUUACCGAUGAGAAGGGGGAAAUUAUCUUGAGUAUAGCGGGGAAUGUGGCUUCCUACAAUGCAAACAGAAACUCAGUUAGAUACGACAGUGAUUGGAAUUGUGUAGAUGAGAUUAGGGUACAGAUGGGUUCACGGUUAAAAUCUCAAGUAGGAGAUGAUGAUAAGAUUAGUCAAUUACCAGAUGCAGUGUUGUCUCACAUACUCUCCUUCUUGGCAACCAAAGAUGCUGUGAGGACCAGCAUUCUCUCUACAAGAUGGAAGAACAUAUGGGCUUCUGUUCCCUAUCUAGACUUCGAACACAAGUACAGUCAUGAACCCGGCUACAGGUCUGACCAUGAUGGGUUUGUGUCAUUCGUUGAUCGUGUGCUUUACUAUCGUGAUUCAUCAGACAUUCAAAGAUUCCGUCUCCAUUUUACCUGCUUUGAUGAGGAUUCCUCUCAUGUUGAUGGUUGGUUUCUCCAUAUCAGAAUUGAUUAUCCUGAUAAGGACCUUAUGGAAAAGCUUUUUACAUACUUCCCUUUACUUGAAGACUUGACUAUAGAGGGAAAAAUGCCAAGUGAUUUAAGUUGUAAGUUCAAGCUUUUUGUGCCAGAACUAAAGAAGUUAAGUAUAAACCUUGACUUUGUUGGCACUUGUGAGGACCCUUAUGAGUACUACUUCUCUAUCAAUUCCCCAAAGCUUGAAUUCCUUAACCUCAGAGUGGAUAUUUUGCCGAGUAUUUUAUUAGACAAUGCAAAGCCCCUGGUAAAAGCCGUUGUGGAUUUCGAUUACCAUGAGGCAAUUCUACAUGAGCACUUCCGUAUUCGCGCAACUAAAAUUCUGGCAGCAAUUUCCAAUGUUGAACAACUAUCUCUUUCAGUUCAUCUUUUUGAUGCUUCUUGUAUACCUGCUUUUGAUAAUCUGAUCCAUUUGAAGUUGGUUCUUCGUGACUGCUAUGGCUGGGAAGUGCUGGCAGAGCUACUCAAGAGAACACCUAAUCUGGAAUGUCUUGUCUUGGAACAUAAACCAGACGGAGACUGUAACUCAGAUAACGAAGAAAACUCAGAGGAUGGAGCAAAUUUAGUGGACAAUGAAAAUUUAGAGGAUGCCGAAGACAAAGCAAACACAGAGGACAAUGAGAACUCCGAUAAUGAAGAAACUUCAGAGGAUGAAGAAUACUCGGAGCAUCCAUGGUGGAACUGUCAAGAGUCUGUACCUGUUUGUUUGUUGUCACAUCUCAAGACUAUUUUCAUAAGGGGUUUCAAAGGACGUAGGGAUGAGAUGCAAGUGGCAAAAACCCUCCUCUCCCACUCCUCUCUCCUUAGACCCCAAACCCCCCACCAACCUCUCUCGUUCUCCUCCAUCUUCCUCAGAACCCUUUCCUCACUCGAACCCAAAAACCACACCAAACCCAGAAAGCCACUAGUCCUCGUUUUCAAAGAGGCCGUCGGACUCUCCCCAAAACCCGAAACCUCCGACACCGAAACCGACGACGACCCACUGAAACAAAGCCUCAGGGAGCACGAACGAGAGCUCAAGACCUUGAAACCGAAUCCGAAUGUUGCCCAAAUCGAACCCAGGAGAAGAGAACCCAAGAAUUCAAAGGGUCGGAUCAGCUUGUACGCCGUGUUUACGAAUAAGAAGGUGGAAGUUGAAACGGGAAAGGAGAGUAGCAGAGAGUGGUCGAAGGUGUACAAGGAGUUGUCGCCGGAAAUGGAGUUGGUGGUGAGCCAUUUGUAUAAAGAAGGCUACUUUUCGGAUGCGAAUUUUGUGUGUUUGUAUGAGGAUAGGUUGGAUUUUAGCUGCUUUGAUAGUGCUUAUGGCCGUGGGUUUAUUAAGCAUGCUGUGGAGAAGUUUGCCAAUGACAAGCAGGAAAUUGCAAAAUGGUUAUCAGGGCGCGACUUGAAAAAGGUGGCUCUCUUUGGUUGUCCUUCGCUAGCCAAAAAGAGUGUUUUCGGUGCUAAGAGAUUGCGCAAAUUCUUUGAAAUUCCAGAAGAAACUGUUUGUUCAAAAUGUGUCUUAAGAGAAUCGUGCAAGUUUGUGAACAAGAGUGUGUGGCGUGGACACCCAAAUAAUUUGAAUCCAACUAAUGUGGGGAAAGCAAACCCCAAGAAUUUAAAUCUGGCUGAUGUUAUGAAUACUAUCACGUUAUAUGCUUUGGAAUCUGUGCAUCCGCAGCUAGUUGUGCCGGAGGAUGUAACGUCUUCUAGGCAACAAGAGAGUACAGAAGAUAUUGAGCGAAUCCAAGCCAUAAAUGCUCAGCUUGCUGUAGUUUUAGCCGAGUAUGAUUCCUCUGAUCCACCAAGAGGGCGUGGUUCACGGCCUAAUCGUUCUCGGAAUGUCAAAAGACACAGGGAGUCACGUGGUCAAUAUCUUAUGGAGGAUUACUUCAUUGAACAUCCAAUCUUUGAGGAAGUAGACUUCCGGAGGAGGUAUAGAAUGCGAAGGUCAGUCUUUAAUCGUAUCAUGGAGAGCCUUUGCAACUACGACACGUUCUGGCAACAAAAACCUGAUUGCUCUGGAAAAAUGGGGUUCCUACCUCAGCAAAAAAUGACAGGUGCCUUACGUAUGCUUGCAUACGGUGCUGCUGCCGAUCAAUGUGCUGAAAUAACCAGAAUGGGGGAAUCCACCACGUUGGAAUGUUUGAAGAAAUUCUGCCAGCAAGUGGAAACUCUUUACUCCGAGUGGUACCUUCGCACUCCAACACUUGCAGACCUCCACCGGUUUCUUCAAAGAGCAGAUAAGCGUGGUUUUCCAGGCAUGAUUGGGAGCAUUGACUGUAUGCACUGGGAGUGGAAAAAUUGUCCGACUGGAUGGGCCGGAGCUUACACUGGUCGUAAAGGUCGCCCAACAAUUAUUCUUGAAGCGUCGAAAGUGUUCCAACGUGUCAUCUCUGGAAGUGCCCCUUCAGUGACGUUCAAGGUCAACGACAUUACCUUCUCCAACCCAUACUACCUAGCUGAUGGAAUUUAUCCUUGGUGGUCAACAUUCGUCAAAACAAUUCCGAACCCAAGAGGUUUUGCUGAGAAACUCUUUGCUAAAAAACAAGAAGCAUAUCGGAAAGAUGUGGAAAUGUGUUUUGGUAUUCUUCAAUCUCGUUUUGCUAUUUUACGUCACUGUGCUCGUUUGUUUAAAUUGUCGACUCUUCGAAGCAUCAUGGUAGCUUGCAUUAUUCUUCACAACAUGAUUGUAGAGGAUGAGUUUGUUGAAGAAGACUUUGUAGAGCCUAACGAGAUUGACAACAUGAACCCAGCAGGAGCAAACGUUUAUGAUCGUCCCUUGGACGAUGAAGGACGUCCUAUUCCUUUCCAACCAGUGGGAAGAGACGGACAAAAUCUUCCACAGCUCAUUGACCGGUUUUCGAUCGCCAUAAUCAUGAAAAUGAGCUGCUCAUUCUCCUCCCCCUCCCAGCUUCUUGUUGUUCUGCCUCUCCUGCUAGUUUUCUCUGCAACUCUUGCUUUCGGAGCUACUCAAUUACCAGAAGAUGAAGUUGAAGCUUUAAAGGACAUAGCAAAGACUCUGGGGAAGACGAACUGGAAUUUCAGUGCUGAUCCCUGUGGCAGCGCUUACGGGUGGGCUAAUCUGAAACCGGUGAAAGGAUCCGAAGAUGCCGUCACCUGCAACUGCACCUUGGUUCCCAAUUCUACUGUCUGCCACGUCACAAGCAUAGUUUUGAAAUCUCAGAGUUUGCCGGGAAAACUCCCUCCAGAGUUGAUCAGGCUCCCCUAUCUCCAAGAAAUUGACCUCUCCCGUAACUACCUGAAUGGCACCAUCCCUCCCGAAUGGGGUGCCCUGCCACUAUUGAACAUUUCCCUUGUCGGAAACCGUUUGACAGGUUCUCUACCAGUUGAACUCGCAAACAUCACCACCAUGAAAAGUUUGGCCAUUGAUAUGAAUAGCUUCUCUGGAGUUCUUCCCGCGAAGCUUGGGAACUUGCCCAACAUAGAAAGAAUUCUUCUUACCUCAAACAACUUUACUGGGGAGUUGCCGGAAACAUUUGCUCAGCUGUCUACACUAAAGGACUUUCGGAUUAGUGACAAUUCCUUUUCUGGGAAGAUACCUAAUUUUAUUCAGAACUGGACAAAACUUGAUAAACUCGCGAUUCAGGCUAGUGGCUUGACAGGGCCAAUUCCUUCCGGCAUUUCUCUUUUGACCAAAUUAACUGACAUGAGAAUUACCGACUUGAAUGGACCUGAAUCAUCAUUUCCUCGACUUGAGAAUCUGAUAAAACCAAAGACACUGAUGUUGCGGAAUUGCAAUAUUAGUGGACAGCUACCUGAAUAUCUUGGGGAAAUGACGACUUUGAAAACUUUAGACCUCAGCUUCAACAAGCUAACUGGAGAAAUUCCAAGCAGCUUUUCUGGUCUAGCAAAUGUGGAUUACAUGUUCUUGACUGGAAAUAUGCUCACUGGAUCCGUGCCUGAUUGGCUGAAAGGAGACAACAUUGAUCUUUCAUAUAAUGACUUCACCACUAAUUCAGGGGCCGUCAGUUGUCAACCACGAGGAGGCUUGAACUUGUUUGCAAGCUCUUCAAGGGGAAAUACUUCUUCUGUGUCGUGUUUGAAAAUUGCAAAAUGUCCAAAAACUUUGUACUCUCUCCACAUAAAUUGUGGCGGAAAAGAAGUAACUCUCAGUGAAAACUUCACAAGGGCCACAAUGGCAACAUAUGAGGAUGAUACAGCUUCUUCUGGGCCAUCAUCAUUUUACAAAAGCAGUACAAAUUGGGCGUCAAGCAACACUGGUUUCUUCACUGACGAUGAUCGUCCUACAGAUACCUUUAUCUGGACUAAUUCAUCUAGACUCUCUAUAACCAAUCCUCAGCUGUAUUUGAACGCACGCCUUUCUCCUAUUUCUCUAACAUAUUAUGGGUUUUGUCUGGGAAAUGGAAUUUAUACAGUGAACCUCCAUUUUGCUGAAAUAAUGUUUCAAAAUGACAAAACAUAUAGCAGCUUGGGAAGGCGUAUAUUUGAUAUUUAUAUCCAGGGGUCACUGGUGCUGAAGGAUUUUAACAUUGCCAGUGAAGCAGGAGGGUUUGGUAUACCUGUUGUAAAAAACUUCACUACUAACAUAACUAGUAAUACCUUGGAGAUCCGUUUAUAUUGGGCUGGAAAAGGAACCACUGGCAUCCCUGUACGAGGAAUUUAUGGUCCUCUAAUCUCCGCUAUUUCUGUAGAUCCUAACUUUGAACCCCCGGUAGAGGCCUUGACAGGAGGUGGAGAUGGAAGUGGAAUAUCUGUAGGUGUAGUGGUUGGAAUUGUGGCUGGAGGAUUCUUCAUUAUACUACUUAUUUUUGGUAUUCUUUGGUGGAAAGGUUUUCUAAGACGAGAAAGGACUCUCGAACAAGAUUUGAAUGGUGUGGACUUGCAAACUAGUAAGUUUACCUUGAGGCAAAUCAAAGCUGCCACAAACGAUUUUGACCCAGCUAAUAAGAUUGGAGAAGGUGGUUUUGGUCCUGUCCACAAGGGCCUUCUAUCAGAUGGCACCAUAAUUGCCGUUAAGCAGCUCUCUGCCAAAUCAAAGCAAGGGAAUCGUGAAUUUGUGAAUGAGAUCGGCAUGAUUUCUGCUUUGCAACACCCUCAUCUUGUUAAGCUAUAUGGAUGCUGCAUUGAAGGAAAUCAAUUAUUGCUUGUCUAUGAGUACAUGGAAAAAAAUAGUCUUGCACGCGCUUUGUUUGGUAAAUAUUUCUGCAGCAUAAGCCCAGAAGAAAGUCAGUUAAAGUUAGAUUGGCCAACAAGGCACAAUAUCUGUGUUGGCAUUGGAAGAGGUUUGGCCUUCCUCCAUGAGGAGUCAAGGUUGAAGAUCGUUCAUCGAGACAUCAAAGCUACUAAUGUGCUACUUGAUAAAAAUCUUUUCCCAAAGAUAUCUGACUUUGGAUUGGCCAAACUUGAUGAAGAGGAUAAUACCCACAUAAGCACCCGAAUUGCUGGAACUUAUGGAUAUAUGGCACCUGAAUAUGCGAUGCGUGGUUAUUUGACUGAUAAAGCCGAUGUUUAUAGUUUUGGAAUUGUUGUGCUGGAAAUUGUUAGUGGGAGGAGCAAUACAACGUACCGGACGAAGGAAGAAUGCUUUUAUCUUCUUGAUUGGGCACUUGUUCUAAAAGAGAAAGGGAACUUGCUGGAACUAGUUGAUCCAAGGUUGGGCUCAGACUUUAACAAUGAAGAGAUGAUGAUCACAAUCAAUGUGGCUCUUCUUUGUACUAAUGUCAUUGCAGCAGAUAGGCCUAUGAUGUCUUCAGUGGUUAGCAUGCUUGAAGGCAAAGCUUCUGUCCAAGAGUUGGUCUCGGAUCCAAAUGCAUCGAAGGAGGAGAUCAAUGAAAUGAGGAAACAUUUUCAGUCCAAUGUUGCAGAAAACAUGAGUGAGAAUAGCCAGAGGCAAACUAUGUCAACCGAAGGUCCUUGGACUGCUUCAUCUACAUCUGUUAAUGAUCUUUAUCCAGUCAAUCCUGAUUCAAGUUACUGGGAAAACAGAAAUCGCAGAGUUUUGAAAGCUCAGAGUUUGCCGGGAAAACUCCCUCCAGAGUUGAUCAGGCUCCGCUAUCUCCAAGAAAUUUCCCUUGUCGGAAACCGUUUGACAGGUUCUCUACCAGUUGAGCUUGCAAACAUCACCACACUGAAAAGUUUGACCAUUGAUUUCAAUAGCUUCUCUGGAGUUCUUCCCGCGGAGCUUGGGAACUUGCCCGGCAUAGAAAGAAUGCUUCUCACCUCAAACAAUUUUAUUGGGGAGUUGCCGGAAACAUUUGCUCAGCUGACUACACUAACGGAUUUUCGGAUUAGUGACAAUUCCUUUUCUGGGAAGAUACCUAAUUUUAUUCAAAACUGGACAAAUCUUGAAAAACUGGCGAUUCAGGCUAGUGGCUUGACAGGGCCAAUUCCUUCCGGCAUUUCUCUUUUGACAAAAUUAACUGACUUGAGAAUUACUGACUUGAAUGGACCUGAAUCAUCAUUUCCUCGGCUUGACAAUUUAAAACCAAAGACUCUGAUGUUGCGGAAUUGCAAUAUUAGUGACCAGUUACCUAUGUAUCUUGGGGAAAUGACGGGUUUGAAAACUUUAGACCUCAGCUUUAACAAGCUAACCGGAGAAAUUCCAAGCAGCUUUUCUGGUCUAGCAAAGGUGCAAUACAUGUUCUUGACUGGAAAUAUGCUCACUGGAUCCGUGCCAGCUUGGCUGAAAGGAGGCAACAUAUCUGUGUCAUGUUUGAAAAUUGCAAAAUGUCCAGAACCUUUUUACUCUCUCCACAUAAAUUGUGGAGGAAAAGAAGUAAAUGUCACUGGAAACUUCACAAGGGCCAAAAUGGCAACAUAUGAGUAUGAUUCAGCUCCUUCUGGGCCUUCAUCAUUUUUCAAAAGCGGUACAAAUAAGUGGGCGUCAAGCAACACUGGUUAUUUUCCUGACGAUAAUAUAGAAAAAGAUACCUUUAUCUGGCCUAAUUCAUCUAGACUCUCUAUAACUAAUUCAUCUGAUCAGCUGUAUAUGGAUGCACGCCUUUCUCCUAUUUCUCUAACGUAUUAUGGGUUUUGUCUGGGAAUUGGAAGUUACACAGUGAAACUCCAUUUUGCCGAAAUAAUGUUUCAAAAUGACACAACAUAUAGCAGCUUGGGAAGGCGUAUAUUUGAUGUUUACAUCCAGGGGUCACUGGUGCUGAAGGAUUUUAACAUUGCCAGUGAAGCAGGAGGGUUUGGUAUACCUAUUGUAAAACCCUUCACUGUUAACAUAACUAGUAAUACCUUGGAGAUCCGUUUAUAUUGGGCUGGAAAAGGAACCACUGGCAUCCCUGCUCGAGGAAACUAUGGUCCUCUAAUCUCUGCUAUUUCUGUUGAUCCUAACUUUGAACCCCCAAUAGAGACCUCGACGGGAGGUGGAGGUGGAGGUGGAGGUGGAGGUGGAAUACCUCUAGGUGUAGUGGUUGGAAUUGUGGCUGGGGCAAUCUUCAUUAUACUACUUAUUGUUGGUAUUCUUUGGUGGAAAGGUUUUCUAAGACGAGAAAGGACUCUCGAACAAGAUUUGAUUGGUGUGGACUUGCAAACUAGUAAGUUUACCUUGAGGCAAAUCAAAGCUGCCACAAACGAUUUUGACCCAGCUAAUAAGAUUGGAGAAGGUGGUUUUGGUCCUGUCCACAAGGGCCUUCUAUCAGAUGGCACCAUAAUUGCCGUUAAGCAGCUCUCUGCCAAAUCAAAGCAAGGGAAUCGUGAAUUUGUGAAUGAGAUUGGCAUGAUUUCUGCUUUGCAACACCCUCAUCUUGUUAAGCUAUAUGGAUGCUGCAUUGAAGGAAAUCAAUUAUUGCUUGUGUACGAGUACAUGGAAAAUAAUAGUCUUGCGCGCGCUUUGUUUGAAGAAAGUCGGUUAAAGUUAGAUUGGCCAACAAGGCACAAUAUCUGUGUUGGUAUUGGAAGAGGUUUGGCCUUCCUCCAUGAGGAGUCAAGGUUGAAGAUCGUUCAUCGAGACAUCAAAGCUACUAAUGUGCUACUUGAUAAAAAUCUUUUCCCCAAGAUAUCUGACUUUGGAUUGGCCAAACUUGAUGAAGAGGAUAAUACCCACAUAAGCACCCGAAUUGCUGGAACUUAUGGAUAUAUGGCACCUGAAUAUGCUAUGCGUGGUUAUCUAACUGAUAAAGCCGAUGUUUAUAGUUUUGGAAUUGUUGUACUGGAAAUUGUUAGCGGAAGGAACAAUACAACUUACCGGACGAAGGAAGAGUGCUUUUAUCUUCUUGACUGGGCACUUGUUCUAAAAGAGAAAGGGAACUUACUGGAACUAGUUGAUCCAAGGUUGGGCUCAGACUUUAACAAAGAAGAGAUGAUGAUCACAAUCAAUGUGGCUCUUCUUUGUACUAAUGUCAUUGCAGCAGAUAGGCCUGCGAUGUCUUCAGUGGUGAGCAUGCUUGAAGGCAAGGCUUCUGUCCAAGAAUUGGUGUCGGAUCCAAAUGCGUGGAAGGAGGAGAUGAAUGAAAUGAGGAAGCAUUUUCAGUCCAAUGUUGCAGAAAACAUGAGUGAGAAUAGUCAGAGGCAAACUAUGUCAACCGAAGGGCCUUGGACUGCUUCAUCUACAUCUGUUAAUGAUCUUUAUCCAGUCAAUCCUGAUUCAAGUUACUGGGAGAACAGAAAUUAG
This is an RNA transcript of Fragaria vesca subsp. vesca, 71432 nucleotides long. RefSeq lists it as uncharacterized. NCBI's taxonomy places the organism in Eukaryota, Viridiplantae, Streptophyta, Magnoliopsida, Rosales, Rosaceae. The record is from RefSeq and is a predicted model, not a curated record. The transcript has 269 exons.